RNAcentral lists this long non-coding RNA (46353 nucleotides) under Lactuca sativa (garden lettuce). Its description in RNAcentral is "long non-coding RNA (LSAT_LNC006484)". Lineage: Eukaryota; Viridiplantae; Streptophyta; Magnoliopsida; Asterales; Asteraceae. The record is from RNAcentral.
UUGCACCAUGAUCGUAAGAUUACUCAAACAUGAGGGGAUUCUUCCAUGGAAAUGGUUCACUGACAAGUCUAGAAUUUGAAGACUUGCUAAUUGACAUAAUUGUAAAGGGAUGCUUCCAGAGAAGUUGUUUGAUCUUAAUGUAAGAACAUACAACCCAGAUAAGCUUUCCCCGAUCCAAACAGGCAAAUUACCAGAAAACUUGUUGGCCCCCAAAUUCAAUGACUUUAAGCUUGUGCAAUUCUUAACGGACAAAGGAAAUUCUUCAGAGAAAUUGUUCUUGUAUAAAUCCAAUGCCUCUAGGUUAAUCAUAGAUCCAAGAGAGGCAGGAAGCCUUCCAGAAAGAUUAUUGUGUUCUAAAUUAAACAUUUGUAGUUCUUUGAAAUGCCACAAACAGUCUGGAAGUUGUCCGCUUAGAAAGUUAUGGGAGAGGUCAAGAAUAACUAAAAAGCCAUGGACAACCUGGCAUAAGAAGGAGAUUCCUCCAGAAAAUUUGUUUCUGGAAAGAUUUAGUAAUGCCACAGUGGAAGAGACAUUAGUUAUUGGACCAUCAAAGCGGUUGGAGCUUAAAUCUAUCACUGAAUUGCUGUCAAAAUUUGAUGACAGAUCUGGUACUUUCCCACUUAUGUUGUUGGAAGAAAGAUUCAGGAAUGUCAACCGGGAAGGCCAUGAGUCCCAAAACUCGAGAGGAAUAGUAUCUGAAAUACCAUUAUUUGCAAUAUCAAGACUGGUAAGAUUUUUCAACUCUUGAAUCCAUUUGGGGAAGUGAGGCCCUAGCUUGCAAGAGCUUAGUUGAAUAGAUUCUAUAUGAGAACGGUUUGACAUGUAAUCUGAGGAAGGAAAUCCAUGGAGUGAGCUUUCGGAAAGAUCAAGAAUUUUAAGGUUGGGCAGUUCCCACAGUUUCUUACUUAUAGUUCCUUUUAACUGAUUCUCAUAGAGGAUCAGAUGUGUUAGGGAUGUAAACUUUUGGAUGUCAUCAGGCAAUGACCCUGUAAAUUGGCUUCCUGAAGCAGACAACCGUUGUAAUGAAAGCGAUGUGCAUCCAGACAAGUUGUUGAGAAAAUCAGGAAAUUUGAUAACACCAAAGUUGUUAUAGAAGUAAAAAUGUUCCAAACUACAGAGGUUACCAAGAUAUUUGGGUAUCCCAUCUAACAUGUUUCUGGAGAGAUCAAGGAUGUGAAGCUUAUUGCUGGUCAAUGGGAACAACCAACGAUACAUGGAUGAGGUGAGACUGUUGUUUCUAAGAGAAAGGUCUACAAUAGAUGAGGAAGAAGAAGAGUUGAGAAAUGAAGAAGAAUAUGGAUACAUGACCUGUGACAGCUCACAUCCAUCUAAACUUAAAAGCCAGAGUUUCGGGAGACUGAGAAUAACAUCUACCCAAUGAUUUGUUUUGGCCAGUGAAAUCCCAUCCAUUUCAAGUACCUCCAAAUGAGAUAGAGGAGACAACCACUCAAGGUUCUCAAGUCUACACAUUCCAGCAUAUGAAAGGGAAAGCAAUUCCAAGUUGGUGAGGUUUCCCAACUCUGGAGGAAUGGUUCCAUAAAGAGAAUUAGAUGAAAGGUCAAGGUAUUUUAAUUCUGUCAAGGAACCAAUGGACCUGGGAAUGGUUCCAUUAAGAUUAUUGCCGCCAAGGUCAAGGUACCUUAAUUGAGUCAACGAACCAAUGAUCGUGGGAAUGGUUCCAUUAAGAUUAUUGCCGCCAAGGUCAAGGUACCUUAAUUGAGUCAACGAACCAAUGAUCGUGGGAAUGGUUCCAUUAAGAUUAUUAUAGCCAAGGUAAAGGGACCUUAAUCGAGUCAAGGAACCAAUGGACCUGGGAAUGGGUCCAUUAAGAUUAUUGCCGCCAAGGUCAAGGUGCCUUAAUUGAGUCAACGAACCAAUGAUUACAGGAAUGUUUCCAUGAAAAGAAUUGUAGUGAAGAUCAAGAUGAUUCAAGUAGGUUAAGUUAACCAAUGAAUGGCUAAUCUCACCUACAAGACCAAAGAGCAUCAGAUCAAGAUCUGUGACAUGACCUGUUUGGUUGUUGCACGUUACUCCACUCCAUUCACAGCAGUUGUCUUGUUCAGCUGUCCACAUAGAGAGGCGAUCAGAAGGGUCUUGAAGGAGAGAUUUGAAAUGAAGGAGAGCGUCUUUCUCCUUCUCAAAACACCUGUUCACACCGCCAUUAUCAUCUCCUCCCUCCACUGCUGCCAAUUGGUUGGCACUUGUAGUCUCAAGACAUAGCAAGAGAAGUGAGAAUAUUAUAACAACACAAGGAUGCAUGAUGUAAAAUUGUAAAUGCAAAUCUUAAUUGGUGAUUUUUUUUUUGUUUGUAUUGAUGAAAAUUUGAAGAUGCCCCAUGCAGCUUUAUAUAGUGCUGCCAACUGUGAAAAUGAAGGAUUCAAGUGGAUGGCCUCAAACUGCACAACUAUUUGUUGGUCAUUUAUUAAAAAUUAAGAUAAAAUAUUAACCAGCCAAGUGAAAUUACAAUGCAUAAAAUAUUAGUGUAAAUUACACAGAAAUAGAAUGGUUCAAGUAAAGACAAUAAUUCUCGUGAGAACGCGUAGGAACAAAAUUCUUUUUUUCCUCUUUUUUCAUCAAUAUGGAAACAUAUUUUAAGGCUAAAAAAUAAUAAAUUCUGGUGUUCUUUAAUAAAGUAAAACAAUAUAUAAUAAAAAAUCAACACCAUUCAUCAACGAAUACAGUUUUAGAAAAAUAUAUAUAUUUUUUAUUUUGGUAUGGAUGUUUAAUUGUAAGGCCUAAAAAAUAGAGAUUUUCGUAUAUUUGUUAAAAAUAAAUAAUUAACAUUCGAUCAUCUGUGAAAACAACAUACUCAUCAAUGAAAUAAAGUGCUAUAAAACACUUCCUAUAUCAAUAUAAAUGUCUAUUUUUACGUCAUAAAAAGAUAUUUUGGUAUACUUGUUUUUUUUUCGGAAAAGAUAAAAAUAAUUAAGCAAAUUCAUCAAUGAAAACACCAUAUUCGUCAAUGAACAAACUGUUAAUAAAGACUUUGUAUAUCAAUUUGAUUAUCUAAUUGUAUAAUCUACAAAUAUAUAAAUUUGGGUAUUUUUGUUUUUAUUUUUUGGUAAAGCUUGGCGGCACAUACAAGCCUUGAAGUCAUGGCGCGCCAUGGCGGAGCCAUGACGAGCUUUUUAGAACCUUGAUAUAUAUAUACAAACAAACAUAUUUUAUAAAGUAUAAAUUCACUUNNNNNNNNNNNNNNNNNNNNNNNNNNNNNNNNNNNNNNNNNNNNNNNNNNNNNNNNNNNNNNNNNNNNNNNNNNNNNNNUAUAUAUAUAUAUAUUCUUAAAAAAUAAAAGAUAACAAAAGAUAGGCAUAUUCAUCAACAAUGGUUUAUUAUUUCUCAUUUUUAGAAACAAACUAUAAGAAAAAUUAGAAAAGAAGAAUUGAAAUAAGUUGCCCCAAAUCAAUCGUUCAAAGACUUAUACAUCAUGCGGGCCAUAAAAUCCUUAUUUUCCUUUGAAAUAGAAUCAUUUUAUAAGGCAGAUUAGAAAAAGAAAAAUUGAAAUAAAUUGCCCCAAAUCAUACGAUUCAAAAGCUUAUACAUCAUGUGGAGCAUUAAAGAUGAAGAAUUGAAAUGAAUAGCCCCAUAUUAGACGUUCAAAGGCGUAUAUCUUAUCUGGAGUAUACAAAACUUAAUUCCCAUCGCAUCAUAAUAACCAAACUAUAAGACAAAUUCGACAUGAAGAAUUGAAAUAAUUUGCCCCAAAUUAGACGUUCAAAGACUUCCAGGCUUUGGAAAUUUGUAUUUUUUCAUUUUGUGAUAUCUUUUGGUCCUCAUGUUAACUCAAAGUGGAAAGAAAAAUAAUAAUAAAUAAAUAAUCAGCCUCUACGGGCCUAAGUGCUGAGUGAUAAAUGAUGGGUCUUCAGAGAAUGUUUUUGGAUAAAAUUAGACUAAUUGUUUUUGUAUUUUGCAAAGAAUAAACCGUUCAAAUAAGAGCAAAUGGCCAUUUUACCCUUGUAUCUAAAAGUGAUGUAGAAUUAGAAUAGCAAAUUGUUGUUUGUUUGAGAACUAUUGUAAUUUGAAACUAAAAAUCAAUGUGAUGCGACCAUGAGACUUGUAUAUGUUUGUGAAAAACUACCAUAACUGUCUUGGUCUUGUAGUUUUUAAAGAAGUUGAGACACGAUGAACGCAACAUGCAUGCUGUAGAAGACCUUUAUCAAAGCAAACUUGCAGUGUAAUCUUACCAUUUGUCAACAUAAUUUGGAAAUAUCAUAUGAAUUCUUUCCCUACAGAUAGAGCAAAACCCUUUUUAAAGGAUCGUUUCCCCAAAACAACAAAUCAGAAUGCAAACGAGUGGUUAUAUUCACAAACAUUGAAUUAAACCCCAAUUUAACAAGAAUUUAUGCAUCUCGUCUUCCUUUUCAGUUAUUAAACAACUUCCAUUUAUGUCUAAUUGACACAAUUCUUCCAAUCCUAUGCAGAUUUACUAUCCUAAACAGAUAUGUGAUACCAUUUAUAAAAGUUCCAACUUACAACAUAAACAUAAACCCAUAAACAACUCCAAUUUAAGGAAUCUAUUAUAAAAUUGUCAAUUUAAGCAAAAAGGCACCGUUUAACGUCAAAACUGAAAUUUUUUAAAGAAACAGAGAAACAUUAUUAACAGAAAUGGGAGAACAGAGAAUGGAGAAGAAGAAAAAUCGAGAUUGAGAGAACAAAAAAGAGAAUAUAGAUAUCGAGAAUGAGUACUUGAGAUGAUCCAACAACUUUCCUGAUGGAAGACCGAGAGAGGAACGACGAAGACAUCUUGGGAAAGUGAUGGAAGAUGGAGAAAAGUAGACGAAGCAAAGGCUGUAAAACCUAAAAAGAAAAGUAGGUUAAAGGACGAGGGUGAACGAGUAAAAAUCGAACAAAACCAAACCCACAGACCAAAAAAUCAAUAAAAACCAAUAAAAUCAAAAAACCAAAAAACUGAACCCAAAAUACUUUGAGUUUUUAAAAAAAUAAAAUAUUGGGUUUGGUUUCACUUUUAAAAAAUAUAAAAACUAACAAAAACUCAAGGUAUGAAAUAUAUUUAUUCACUGAAUUAUAUGGUAUUUAUUUAUUUAUUGUGUGAGAGAUAAUAAUAGGGAUGAACAUUUGGACCAGAAAACGAAAACGGGCCUGAACCGGAUAGAACCAAUCGGGCCGGGACCGGAACGAUAUUCUUGUGCAUUUUUAGAACCAGAACCGGUAGGAACCGGUCAUUGGAGUCGGCCCAAAACCGGGAACCGGACUGGAUUAAAUAUAACUCAUGUCUGCUGAACUUCCAAUAGUUCUUGGAGGCCUUAAAAAACGAUCGGUCCAUAGUAAGUAAACGUACGGCUACACAAACAAAGCAUAUCAUAUUAAAAAAAAUCCUGCUUGAACCCUAGCGACAACUUGUGUAACGCCCCAUUUCUAGUAUGUAAAUUAAAUAUAGUAUUUUCCCUUUCUUAAGAGGAACUCGACGAGUCAGUAGCCCGACUCGUCGAGUAGAGACGGGAUUUGCACGCGUUUUGAGUGAGCAACUCGACGAGUUCGUAUCCCGAACUCGGCGAGUCCUCCAGGAUGAAACCCUAAAUCCCAGGAUUUGUACCCUAUUUAAAUGUCAUUAUAGCCUCCCACCCCAGCCUCCAACACCUCUAGAGCAUUUCUCUGUAAACCCUACUCCCCAUUGUUGAGCUUGAGUGUUUUUUGCUAGCUUGGAAGUUGUAGAAGAGAAGGGAGGAAAGAAGGCCAAUAGAAGAGAAAGGAGAUCCAGAAUCUAACUUCCAUUUGCUACACAUUCUGGUAAUAAAGUUAUUACCUUGCUUAUUCUUCCAUUAAACCAUAUUUUUAUGCUUGUUUAUGGUUCUCUUGGAACUUUAUAUGAUUCAAACUCGAGAAUUGAACUCUCCUUAGGAUGGAGACCAUAGAUCUGGAUGUUAUUGAGCUUUAGGAGCUCAAUGUAGCUACCUUUAUGAAAGUAUAGCCUUGUUCCAAACUCUAAGUGCUUAUUGUUGGAUGAUUUUGGUGUUUUAGUCCCAUUCUCGUGUGCAUGCACGUAAAGUUGGAAACUUUACGUCUAAAACCAGCCCUGGAAGCCCAAAUAUAUGAAUUGGAUGCAAUAAAAUUGACUAGAAUCGACUAUAUAGUAAUGGCAUGCAUGGAACUCGACUAGUUGUUCAUACAACUCGUCGAGUCAUAGUCUGGACGUGUUCAUAUGAUGAAGGGGAACUCGACGAGUUGUUCAUACAACUCGGCGAGUCGAAUGAAGUUAGACUCGAUGUUAGUAUCAAAGAAGAACUCAUCGAGUUUUUGCCAAACUCGACGAGUUGAAGCAGUUAGAGGAUUAGAAAGGAUGUUAGGGACUUGGCGAGUUGGAGGCCCAACUCGACGAGUCCAGUCAACUAAAAGUUGACUUUGACCAAAAAAUUGACUAUGAACAGGGGUAAAAAUAGUCAUUUUACCCUAAGAGUAGUUAUCGGUAUCUGAUUUAGUGUUUAUGGGAUUUGUAGUCGGGGAGUUCCGGAGCAGCAAUCAGCCAGUUUCAGAUUUAGCAUCUCAGCAGCCAGCGCUACGAGGUGAGUUUCCUUCCAGUAGGAACGGGUCUACGACCAUAAUGUCGGCCCGUUUAGUUAGCAGUAGUUCCGUACUUCGGUCCGAUGCAGUAGUUUGGUGUGCUUGAUGUCUUUGUGAUUCAAACAUUUCUUUGUGUUAUGUGUUAUGAACUUCGGUUCGAUGCAGUAUGUAGUAUAUGUGUUUAUGCUAGUAGAUAUGAUUAUGAUAUGCUAUGUUCAGUAAGUUUCCGGACUUCGGUAUGAUGCAGUUUCCGGACUUCGGUCCGAUGCAGAGGGCAAGGCCCUGGUUAGUUCCGGACUUCAGUCCGAUGCAGUUUCCGGAAUUCGGUCUGAUGCAGAGGGCAAGGCCUUGGUUAGUUCCGGACUUCGGUUCGAUGUUGUUUCCGAACUUCGGUCCGAUGUAGUGGGCAAGGCCCAAUACGUGUUUAUAUGUUAUUGUAUGGUAUGUGGUAGCUUGGGGGAGCUCACUAAGCCUCGUGCUUAUAGUUUCAGUUUUGGUUUUAGGUACUUCAGCUGACAGGGGGAAGGGCUCGGGAUGAUGGCAUGGCACACACCACAGUUUAGCCUGGGAGAUUGACUCUGAUAUUUUGAUAUCAUCUUGACACUAGUUUUGAUUUGAUAGUUUAUUAUGACAUCUGAUAUACAUGAUUUUUGGUUUUUAUCUUUUGAUAUUUGAUAUUAUGGUUUAGCAAUGUUUUUUAAACAAAAAUUUUUAGGUUGUAUUUUUGGGAUGUUUCAACUUCAAAACGCAUGACUAAACCAAUAUCAAAGAAAAAAUUAAGUAGGUUGUUCAUGUUGGACUUCGAUUGUUCGAUCAUCAAUUCAUCAUCAUCUUAAAUCGACAUAUCCACAUCUUGAUUCCAUCCACAUAUGCUCUUAAUCUUAAAUCAACAUUUAUUAUCCACAAAUCCACCAUCAUUGAUCUAGUUCUUAAUUCGUAACCAUCAAUAGGCAAUGCCAAAAGGUGAAAAAAGUAGUCUACAACCAUCAACUUCUCAACAAUCAGCUUAAAAUAAUUCGAUAUAUAGAUGCUCAUGAAGAUCAAGUAAGAUUAUAUAUUUGUAUUUCAUGUUUUAAGUUCCAUUUAACAACGUAGUUUGUAGUUUAUUGAUAGUUGAUUUUAUUUACUUCUUUUUAUAGUUUAUUUUAACAUAUUUCAUCCAUAAUUUAGUUAAUUUCCAUGCAUAUUUUCCUUUUUGUUAUUUUUUGUCCAUUUCGGGUACUUUCUAGUUUUGUGAGCUUAAUUGCAGAUUUUAAGAAGAUUAGCGGAGUGGGAUCUUUAGGAAGCGAUUGGACUUAGAGGAAGUCAAGGAUCUUGGGCUUUAUAAUAAUGGAGUUAAUGCAUGGAGUGGGCUUGAUGAUUAUUUGAAGGCUUGGAGAAAAUGAAGUUUGAAUUUGCAAGAUGCGGGAGAAUAUUCAAGCGUGCGUAGAUCAUUAAUCGGGCGAGUUCACGAGCUUUGGAGGAUUUGGAGAAGUCAAAUUGGGCUUAAAAUGAAGAAAACAUGAAGAAAAAUGGGCUAGGAGUUGAUUGGAUACGAACUAGGCCAAGUGAGCUAAGCUAUGGAGGCCCAAACCUCAAAGAUGCUACGUCCAGGGACCACGCGCGCAACAGUAUGCGGGUCACGCAACCCCUUGCAGGGGCAAUUCCGGAAAUUCUUCUUUUGAGCUAUAUGGGGAAGGUUGGUGUGCCACUUUUUCAAAACUCUUAGACAUCCGAAUUUGGAGCAUUCUCUCUGGAGUUUUGAAGAUUUUUGAAGGCCAAGAACACCUCAAGAACAUCAUCUUUUCACCUCUUGAUUCUUGUUUAAUGUUUGGUACAAUAUUCUCUAACUUUAUUUCUUUGAGUUUAGUCAUGCUUGGCUAAACUAAUCUUGGUUGACUUUUGUUGAAUCCUUUGAACUUUUGUUGAAUGUUGAAGGAUCCAUGAACAUGUUCUUAAAUCUUUAUGGGAAUGUUUUGUGUUUUUUAACAUCUUAUCACUACUUAUAUGUUUUUAUUCAUGAGUUUAAAUGUGUUUGUGGUGAUUAGUUGGCUAAUUUCUUGAUUAAGUAAAGGAUCCUCAAAUUAGCAAGCAACAAAUGAUUUUUGUGUUGUUUUUGCUUCACACAAUCAUAAAAACAUUUUCUCCAACAUGGUAGCAAAAGCAUUCGACUCCACUUGGAUUUGGUGACUUUUUGGUUCUUAAUGCUAGUUGACUUUCACUAAUUACAUGCUUAAUGGAAAUUGUGACUUUAACUAAGGAAAUUGUUAUGAGAGUCUCUAACCAUUUUAACAACUAAGAAAAGUGUAGGUAAUCUCAAGCUGCUUGGAUUACUAUAUCCAAAUUAAGGAUUUAAAACAAGUAUUGCACCAUUGGAUUCUAAUGAUAUGUUCAUCAAAAGUCAAAGUGAGGAAACCUUAAGUCAACCAUCUUCCCCUUAUUGAUUUUACAUCAAACUUGUAUUUUUGUUGAAAUUGUUUAUUUAAAUCUUAGUUUAAUUCUAGUUUAUUUCAAGUAUUUCAAAAGACCAAUCCCCCCAUUUUUAAUUUAUUGUUAUUUUACAAGUAUUUUUACAAAGAGAUAUUUCGUAGAGUUAUAAAAUUGAACCAAUCUCCGUGGAUCGACCACUAUACACUAUUUUAGUGUAAAAGAUUUAGGGUUAUUUAUUUUUGUUGGUCUCGACAACCACCAUUUAUAGACAUACAUGCAAGAUUUUUGUUAGAUUAGUUUGUAGUAUGAAUGUAUGAUUGUCAAAACUAAGAAUUUGUUUAGUAAUAUAAUUAAUGUAUGAUAUUGACAAUGUAGGAUUUGAAUGGGUUACCAAAUAUACCAUCAUCAAGAUACCGAAAAUCGGAUGUUCAUGAUGCUAAUAAUCAAGAUGACAUUCUGACUAAUUGGAUUGGAAAAGACUUUGAUGACCAAGUAAGAAUUGUACUUUUUUUUUGUUUCAACAAUAAAUCGUAAUAUGACUUUUUCUUAAAAUGUUUAUAUCUCAUGAAUUUGAAGUGGGUUUGACAUUAUUAUUUUUCUUACAUGUUAUUUAGGUUUUAUAGAUAACUUUAGACUAUAAAAUCUCUUGAUUUGGUUAAAAAUUGAAUGAGUUACAAGCUCCACAAGGAAGCAUAUGAAAUCAGAUUUUUUUUCUAUUUCAACUUUAAAACGUAAUCUGACUUUUUCUUAAAAUGUUCAUAUCUCACUCAUUUGAAGUGGGAUUGAGAUGAUUCUUUUUUCUACAUGUUAUUCACGUUUUGUAGCUAAUUUUAGAUGAUAAAAACACUUGAUUCGGUAAAAAUUGAAUGAGUUACAAACUCCGCAAGGAAGCAUAUCAAGUUAGAUUUUUUUUUAAUUUUGUUUCAACACUAAAACAUAAUCUGACUUUUUGUUAAAAUAUGCAUAUCUCACUCAUUUUAAGUUGGAUUGACAUGAUUUUUUUCCUACAUGUUUAGGUUUUGUAGCUAAUUUUACACUAUAAAAACUCUUGAUUUGGUUAAAAAUUGAAUGACUUACAAAGCCCGCACGAAAGCAUAUCAAAUCUGACUUUUAUUGUUUCAGCACCAUUUAACAAUGUAGUAAUUUUAUGUUUUAUUUUGAGAAUAUAGGAUUAUGAAGAAGAUACAGAAGAAGUUUAUAUAGAAGAAACAGUGACAUGCCAUGUUAUGCUAAGUGACGAAUCAGAGCAAGAACAGGGGCAUAAGAACAACAACCAUAAAAAAACCAAAAUUUGCAAUCCAGUAGAAACGAAGACAACAACAACAAAACAGCACAAGCAAAAAAUUAAACACCACUACCAAAAAAGCGAACAUGACAAAAAUAUCAAACAACACCAAAACCCAACAACAAAAAAAUUUCUCAAAAGGAGUUAAGGGACCAGAUUAACCCAACCAGGCGAUGUGAGGGUAAAGGUAAUUGUACCGCUCCUAUUUGGGAUUACUUCGAGAUAGAAUGGAUAAAGGCUGAAGAUGGAAUUGAAAGAAAGUGGGACAAAUGUAAUUAUUGUUUAAAAUUACUUGCCGCAGAUGCAGAUCAGAAUGGGACAACUUCAAUAAACAAACAUUUUAAUGGCUGCAAGUAAAAGGAACAUACGUAAAUUAUAACAAUAGUCUCUAAAAUUAGCAAAUUAGGAAUGAUCUUUAUGGUUUGGAAUUUGCAUCGAUUGGUUUCUAAGUCUAUUUUUUCUAUUUUUUCCAAUUAGAAAGUUCUUAUACUUUGAUGUUGUUUUGAAUUUGGUCCCUAAUCAAUGUAAAAAGACAAAAAAUAAUUAAAAAACAUUUUCAUUGUUCCUUUUGUCUUUAAAUUGCUAUCAAAAUGCUUUAAAAUUUUAGACAAUUGCUAUCAAAAUACAAAAUAUACUCUCAAAAUGUAUUAAAUUUUAGUCAAAUGUUGUACAUUCUAGAAAAAAAAAUGGAAGAGGCUUAUAUAUUCUUUACAAUUAUACAUACAUGAAAACGAAUAUAUACUUGAAAAAAUAGUUUUAAAGAAUAUAUAAAAAGAAAGCUAUAAAAAAUUAACGAAAAAAUAUUAAAAAAAUUGAACCAAAACUCUUAUAAAAAGAAAGAUACAUAAUAAAAAAUACAUAAUAGAUCACAAAUGACUUGGAAGGGUAACCAAUUAUAUACUUUGUAUAUAUUUCUGACAUUCCUUACCUCCAGCCACACUUUUAAUCUGGGUUUUUUUUGGAGGAAUCGAACACAACAAAAUCAGAAAAUGAACUCAUAGAACACAACCAACUCUGUGUUCUUGGUGUUUGUGUGUGAAAAUUCAAAUAUUAAAAAGGAAGAUAAAACUGUUUGAGGUUUUAUUCCUGAAAUUGAAGCUGAUGAAGACAAACACAUGAAAGUCCUAAGGUUUUUCUGGUUCAAUUUGCUCCAGAUUUCGGUAAAGAACCCUAACACCUCGUUCCCUAGUGUCAUUUAACGAGGGAAGUUGAGAGAAAAGGAGGGAAUCUGAGAGAAAGAGGAGUACGAUCGUGUUCCCAAGUUAUUUUAUUGGGAUGAUUUGGGCACAAAAGAAAGGAAAUCAGAGGAUAAUCUUCCCUCCUAAUCUUCCUCCCAAAUUGGAGAGAUUUGGAGAGAAGAGAAUCAAGGAUAAAGAUUAGAACACACGGUUUUUUUAACCUAUCUAUAUAAUCACGUACAUACACACAGAGAAAAAAAAUCAUCCUGCAUCUUCUCUUUGGAAGUCCGCUGCAGCUUCAAUCCUCCAUCAGGUUACACUGUCUUCUCCAAUGAAUUUUUUGGUUGUUAAAUCUUGUUCAUCAGGUUACACUUAUGUUACAACCUUUUUUUUCUGGUUCAUAUAAUAUGUUUACUGUUCAUUAUUGUUCUUAUAUGUUUCAGAUCACAUUACCUGUGAUAAUAUGUUCUUAUAGUUUGUUUCUUCUCAUUUUUUGUUAUUAAAGUUGAAUUGAUUCAUUAGGUUAUUUGUAAUAAUAUGUUUAGAACACCAGUACAUGUUUCCUCUUAUGAUAUUAUGUUUAGAGCAUCAAUACAAGUAUCCUCAAGUUCAAUAUAUGUUUACAAUUUUUUUUUUCUGAAUUUGUUUCUUCUUCAAGAUCCAUUGAUCCGAUCCUCAUACACACUCAUUCUGACGACCAAGGGAUGUAUAACAUGUCAACAACAUUUUGUGAUAGUUCCUUUCAAUAGCAAGUACCUGCAUUAACUAUUACUCAAUGCAAUUCUCAAAGUAUCUCUUGUUGGACUAUUUUGCCCUUGCUUUUAUUUUGGAUGUAUGGCUGUUUUUGCUGCAAAAAAAUAAACACAAAAUUUUCUAUUGAUUUUUAUAGAGUGUUAUGAAUAGGUGGGUCAAUUACACGUUUAAAGAUGAAAAUAAUAAAGCUUUUUGUUGGCCUAAACGAUGACAUAAUUGAAACUAUAAAAAACUUAUCAAAGUUUACAUACAAGUAUUGCAAAAUAUUUGAUUAAAAUAACCAACACUCAUAUAAACCGGAUACAACCCAAGUCAAAAAUUCAUGCCUACCAAAGGAACUAUGAGUAAAUUUUUAUUUACUUUAACUUUUCAAAAAGCUAAGGUGAUUCCUCAAAUUUUUCAAAGGUGGUUCCUAAGUUUUUUUCUACAAUAAUUAUAAAUAAUUUUAAAAAUUAAGGUGGGUUAGAUGACCCAUGUAAGCCCUUCUUAAAUUUUCCAUUGCCACUUAAUAAUCCUUCACAUUUUUUACGUAAAAUAGGUCACAUUGAUUUCAAUGGAUAUUGACCUUCCUUCACCCGCUCAUAUUUUGAAAUCAAGACAAAUGCAAGUUGUUCAUCUAAUUUGCUUGUUGAUUGCUAUUCUGGUACAACACAAACUUACCAUCAAGAAUGGUCCUAAUUUACCUACUAGAGAAACUCUUUUAAAACGUCGACGUGUACGGGAAGAGUUGUUACAUAACCUUUCAAAUGGUGGUCAAUGUCGUCAGCUUAUCCGUAUGAGUGAGCAAGCUUUUAAGAAGCUUUAUGUUAUCUUACGACGUGAUGGUGGUCUUCGACCUACUCAACGAAUGUCUGUUGAAGAGCAUGUUGCAAGAUUUUUGCACAUUAUAGGUAAUGAUUUGAGAGACACAUUUGUCUCUUGGAUGUAUCGGCGCUCGAAAUCCACAACGAGUAGGUGUUUCCAUAGAGUUUUGCGCUCGGUUAUAGCAUUAGAAAGUCUUUAUAUUCAACAACCACAAGGUGAUGUUGUCCCUAAAGAAAUUCAAGAGAAAAAGAGAUUCUUUCCUUACUUCAAGAACUAUGUAGGAGCAAUUAAUGGUACACAUGUUCGUGUCAAAGUACCUAAUAGAGAUGCCCCUAGAUAUCAUGGCCGCAAGGGUUACCCAACGAUAAAUGUGUUAGCUGCUUGUUCAUUUGAUUUAAAGUUUACGUAUGUCUUAACCGGUUGGGAGGAUACUACAUCAGACUUAAGGAUACUAAAGAAUGUGCUUAAUAGAGAUGAUAAACUAGUAAUUCCAAAUGGUAAUUUCUAGUAUCAACUUUUUAUUUUUUAGUUUAAAUUAUUAUUAAAAAACUAAUUACAAUUUAAUUAUAGGUCGCUAUUAUUUAGUAGACGCGGGUUUGCCUCACUCAACUAUAUUAAUGGCGCCAUAUAGAGGUGUUAGGUAUCAUCUAAAAGAAUAUUCCACUCGGGUACCACAAAAUGCUAGAGAGUUGUUUAAUCUUCGUCACGCUUCAUUAUGUAAUGCUAUAGAAAGGGCAUUUGGUGUUCUAAAAAGAAGGUUCCCUAUCAUCAGAAGUACACAAGAACCUUUUUAUUCUUGUGAAACACAAUCAGACAUUUUUUUGGCGUGUUGUAUUUUGCAUAACUUUUUGAUAGUUGAAGAUCGUGACAAAGAUCUUGAAGAUGAGGUAUUACAGGAAGUGUUAAGUGCACAAACAGAGGAAGUCAGACAUAAUUCAAGUGGUGCGCGUGAGGGUAACAACAUGGCAGAGCAAUUUAGGAACUCAAUUGCAAAUCAAAUGUGGACUAAUUACUUAUUGAAUCCAAACAAUGAAAUAAAUAUGUCAACAUAGUUUAAGAGUAAUUCGUUAUAUUACUUCAUUUGCAAUUUGAAUUUUUAUUGAACAUUGUUUUGUGAAUUCAUUUGUGUUAUUUUAAAUUUUUGUUUAUGUUACUUUUGAUAAAUUGUACACUUUAUAACUAUGUUCUUUUUAUAAUAAUGUAUGUUUUUUUAUGUUAUGUAGAACCCGAUAAUGAACAAGCAAGAACCUAUUGUAAAUACUGGUAAGAAAUCACUCUUGAACUGGACAGAACAUAUGGAUGCUGCAUUUGUUGAUGCAAUGGUACAACAACAAGAAAAAGGAAAUAGGCCUUAUGGAAAUUUUACAUCACAAGCGUAUGCGAAUAUGGUUGAGGAGAUCAAUACGAAACUUACAAUGAAUUUUUAAAGUCAUCUAAAAAAUCGUUUGAAAACUUUGAAAUCUACUUUUUCACAAUGGUAUGACAUGUUCACUGGGAUUUCCUUGAGUGGGUUCGGUUGGAAUGCUGAUACCCAACUAAUUGAAGCAGAUGAGGAGGUUUGGGAUAACUUAAUUAAGGUUAGUUUUCAUUUAAGGUUGUAUUUAGUUUAUUUUUAUAUUAUGUUAUUAUGAAUAAUUUUAAUGUAUUUUGGGGUUUUUAAACAGUCAAAGCCUGAUGCAGUUGCACUGAAGACAAAAAAGGUGGCCCACUUUGAACAAAUGUUGGUAUUAUUUGCAAGAGAUAGAGCUUCAGGAGAAAAUGCUGAAACUGCAAAGGAGAGAAAUGUUAGGUUUAACAACACUACGAACAUCAAAAUAGAAAGUAUUUCAAAGGUUGAUUCUUUAUUAGCAAGUAAUGAUGUUAGACUGGAGAACCAACGUGUAGAUGAUGAUGAAGAUGACAUUCAAGUGGUGUCUCCUACACCUGAACAAAAUUCAAGUGCGAAAAAAAUGUAAAACUAAAAAAAGAAAACUCGUAGAUGAAGUAGAACAGGAAGUUGAACCUCAGCCUCAACCUGAACCUGAAACAUUUGAAACAAAGAUUAUGAAUGCUGUUAGUGAUGUGGCUAAUGCAAUGAGGGAAGGUAACAAAAUUUUUGAAAGAGCUUACCAUCAUGAGUUAACAGGUGAUGAAAUUUAUCAAGAAUUGCAGCCGAUGGGAUUGGAAGCCCAUGAAAUACCAGGUGCUCUCAUGUAUUUGGCUCGUAACCAAGCAGAUGCGAGGACGUUGUUUACAUGUCCAAUGAACAUAAGGAAGGAUAUACUAAAAACAAUGAUGGGUGCAGGUAAAUGAUGAAUUGGGAGAAUCGGUGUUUAUUUCUUGGUUCUUUGUUCAACUUUUUUUGGGUUUCACGAAUUGAAUUAUGGUUUUUCGAAUCGUAGUUGAAUUAAGUUGCAUUGUUUUGGAUGAUUUUUAUAGUUUGGUUUCUUUUCAAUUAGACAAAUGCUAUUAAAAGAUAUCCACAACUUUUUUUAUUUUAAUAUUAUUUAUGUGUUGCUAUUCAUUGGUAAUUUAAUUUAAUAUUAUAUGUAGGUUGUAUUUGACAAAAUAUAUAUGUAUGUGUGUAAAUGAAUGUUUAGACAACAAAUAUGACGUUAACAUGCAAAUCAAUUUUUUUUUUCAAUUUCAACUAUGUAUGUAAUAAUCUUGCUAAAAAAUAGGAUAAAAUUGUAAUGUUGUUAUUUAGCUUUCUUUUCUUUUCUUUUCCUUCGAACUCGGGAACACACUUUUUAAAAAACUUCCCUUCCUUUCCUUCGGACUCGGGAACACGAAAAAGUUAAUCAUUUCCUUCCCCUCCCUUUCUUUUCUCUCCAUAUUUUACUUCCCUUUAUUUUCUUUCGUUUAAUGAAACUCAAUUAAACUCGGGAACAAGGCGUAAGGUUUUGAGAGAGAGAGAGAGAGAGAGAGAGAGAGAGAGAGAGAGAGAGAGUUGUGUGUAUAUAUAUGUUCUUGUGUAUGAGAGAAAGAGGGGUUGGCCCUCUUUUAUUUUUUAAUUACUAAAAUAAAUAAAUAAGUAAUAAACUUUUUAAAGAAAAUGAAAGAAAAAUGGAAAAUAAAUACACCAAGGAUGUUAUAGUCAUUUGAAUUUUCGGAGGGACCAAAUACACAACGAAACUAACUCAAAAUAACCAUCAAUUCAAUAAAAAAAUGCAUACCAUAAGGACAAUUUUUGAUGAUUUUAUCGACGGCAUCACGCUAUUGUGAGUUUAAUAGUCUUAUAUUACUAUCUAUCCAAUACACAGGGUAAUAUCUAUAAAACAUGGGGACCAUGUUGGUAAAUUCACUAUUAAACAAGGACUAAUUCUAUAAUUUUGUGAACUGUAUGACCCUUUUUUGUUAUUUCUCUAUUAGGAAGGGACUUUUAUGUACUUUUAUAUGUAAAUUCGUUGUCAUUUAAGGACUAUUUCUUUAAAUUCCUUACUAAACAGGGGUUAUAUUCUAAUUUAUUAAGCAAAGAACCAAUUCUAUAAUUUUUUUUUAAAUCAGAUAGGAAUCAUUUUUUAAUUUGCUGAUAUACAUACAGAGACCGUUUUUGUAAUUUUGUGACAUAAAUGGACGGUUUCUAUAAAUUCACUUUUAAUAAGGAAUCAUUUAUAUAACUUUUUCAAACAUAAGUACUAUUUCCGUAAAUUCUUUAUUAGAUAAGAGCCAUUUCUUAUAAAAUACAUACAAUUAAUUCCGGUAGACUUGACGAACAGUAUCAUGAAUUUGCCACUGUAUUAUGGGUAACUUGUCGCUUCCGGUCCCUCCCUUUCACUAAAUUGACCCGGAAUUGUGCAUCGGCUGUAGGUUUGGAGGUUAGUUUCGGUGUUUGCCGUUUUUUCUUCCAAUCGCGUUGCUUCAGUGAUCUUCCCUGUCCUCCUCACGCACAUACUCAUGGAUGAUGGAACCCUUCCUAUUAAACAUCUUUCUUCAUUACUGAAUACACAUACCAAUGAUGAUCUCGUUGUCUGCCAAGAACAAAUUGGGUUUUGUUGAUGGAACAAUUCCUAAACCUCUGAUUACUUCAUCGUCUUAUUCUAAUUGGGAUCGAGCUAAUUCCAUGGUGAUUAGCUGGAUUUUAAACUCUCUAUCCAAGAAUAUUGCUGAAAGUGUUCUUUUUCUACAAACUGCUUAUGAAAUUUGGUCAGAAUUGAAACAACGAUAUGAGCAGUUAAAUGGAGCCAUGCUGUAUCAAAUUCAGCAACAGUUGUAUUCAAUUUCUCAAGGUACUGAUGAUUUUUCACUGUAUUUUACCAAAUUGACCAAGAUUUGGGACGAAUUACGUGUUGUUCAAGAUCUACCUCCUUGUUCUUGUGCUGCUGCAACUGCAAUUCAUAAAUUUCUUGAAGAACAACGUCUAAUUCAACUUUUGAUGGGACUAAAUGACUCGUAUAAAAUACUCAGAGGUCAAAUUCUUAUGAUGAAACCAUUGCCAACUGUUUCUACUGCUUAUUCUCUCAUUAUUCAAGAAGAACAACAACGUGGAAUUAAUAAUCUAUCGAUUAUUAACAAUGAAGCCAUUGCGAUGCUUGCUUCUUCUGAUAAUUCUUCCAAGAAACAUCUUGUCUGUUCUCACUGUAAGAAAAAUGGACACACAAAAGCUCAAUGUUAUCGAUUAAUCGGAUUUCCAUCCAAUUUCAAGUUUACUAAAACAAGGAAAGAUGAAAAUAAGUCUAUGGCUCAAAACGUUGAAGUAAUCUCUGCAUCAUCUCCUUCAAUUUCUCCUGAACAAUAUCAACAACUCAUGGAUCUGGUCAAUUCUCACAAAAUUGGUCAAGCAUCUACUCAAGCAAAUCUUUCUGUGGUCAAUGGAGCAAUGAAUGAUGAAGGUAAACAAGAUUCAUUCAUUCGUUUUGCAUUGAAUGUUCGCAAAUCUUCUUCAAUUUUACAAGAACAAUUUUCUUGGAUUAUUGAUACUGGUGCUACUGACCAUAUGUGCUCUAACAAAGCUUUAUUUUCUUCUAUUUCUAAACUUCAUCAGCCUCAAUUCAUUGGUCUUCCUGAUGGUUUUAAUACCACUGUUGAAUUCAUUGGAGAAAUUCAGUUACAUGAUUCUAUUGUUCUCAAAGGAGUGUUGUAUGUUCCUUGUUUCAAAUACAACCUCAUUUCUGUGCCAAAACUUACUGCACAAUUACAAACUUUUGUUAUUUUCACUGACAAAGCUUGUAUGCUGCAGGACCCUUUAUCGAAGAAUGAACUCUCUCUUGGCAUUUUUGGCACACAAGUCAAUGAUUUGUAUAUUUUUGAUCACAGACUCAUCAAAUCAAAUUUGUCAUUCUCUUUUUCUGUAUUGUCUUCUUUGGUUACCAAUAAGACUCUUGCAAUGCAUGCUGAUUCAAAUGUAUUGUUGUGGCAUAGACGUUUAGGACAUGCUCCAUUACAUAUUCUUCAAAAUCUUUCUGUUGUUUCUUCUCAUUGUAAACUCACGUGAACUUCUUCUUUAGGAUUUGGUUUUAUGUUUGAAAAAAAACAAAGAUGAUUAUUUACCCAUCUGUUUAAUUAAAUUUUUUAUUUUUAAUUCAGGGAUUUGCAAUAUGGCUCGAUUUACUAAUUUACUUGCAUCACCAUGGCCAUUAAUUAAGACAAACUCCAAUGGCACUGUAGCAAUGCUAUUUCCUGCAUAUUCUCUUUGACUUUGAACUAUGUUUUAAAUUCAAAAUGCAUAGUACCUUUGACAAAAAAAAAAAAGAAAAAAGCUUUAGUUGUAAAUUAUUAUAUAGUCGUAAAUUCAAUUCUGGGUAUAUUUUUCUUUCUUCUUUAUGUCCUAAUGCUUUUGGAUUUAGUAAAGUGUGUGCUAUAUUUUUCGGUUACGACACACUUGUUCCAUUAAUUUAUUUAUAUUAGCAUCAUAUUUUCAUUUUUUUUUCUGAUUACAGCACUGUAUUUUGAAAUAUUUUCUCAUUUGGGUAGAUUUUUCAAAGUACAUUGCCUUAAGAAAUAUAACUGUUACUCUUAUUUGGAAUGCUAUGCUUCUGGAUUGAAUUUCAAAGUAGAUUCACAAUUAUAAAAGUCCCUGUGCAGAAUUUUUUCUACAACAAAUGGUUCACAUGUUAAAAAAAUUAGAUAAACUGUGCAGAACUGUAUAACUUUUACAAACAAGAUUCGAAUUACGAACAAAUUCCAAANUUGCAACCCGAAUUGGAAAUUACAGGUAAUUGCUGGUUGUUAAUACUAAGUAAUGGGAUUUAACAUUUAACUUAGGUAAGGUAUAAUUUAAUGUAACAAUGUGAUUCGAUGAAUUGAACAUUGAUUUACUGAUGCACAGAUAAGGCCUUUGGAAACAUAAAGUGUAUAUUAUUAUAUACUCAUAAAGAAAAGAAAGGUAUAUGGAUGGAUAAUCGUUCUAGCACUAUAUUUCCUAGAAAAUUUGUCCAUCCUAAGUAUAUUUGUCAAAUGUGUAUAAAAAAAAUAAUUGAUUAAAUGUGUACAACUGCAAAACUUCAUUACUCUCACAAGUUUAAUUGUUGACGGUGAAGUGGUUGGAAACCAGGGUAACCUUUAAUUACAGAUCAUAAUGGUACUUUUUUUAAUACUUUAAGUAAGUUUAAUGGUCACAUGUGUACAAAAAUAACUGACUAAAUGUGAACAAAUGUGAUAGAUGGUUACCCUCAUAACACAUUUUCCCUUUUUAUUAUAUACCCUUAAUGGUUAUUAUUAAUUUUUUUGUUAAAAAAAACUUUCUUAAAUAUAAUUAGAAAAUAUAAACUUUUUAUGAUCCCUUAUUUCACACAACACUAGAAAAUGGCCACCCGUGGUGUUGGUGGCAAUUUUAUUGAUAACUGGGACUUAAAAACCCAUGCCAAUUACAAAAAUGAAACAUGGUUUUACAUGAAUAUCUAUGUUCUUCUUUUUUUCAAAUUUGCAAUGAACACCACCACCUUCACAUAAACCCAAUCUUUGAAGCUAUCAAGAAAUAUAAAAAACGCAUAUCUUCCACGACGGUUGAAGAGUAAAGCACCACAUGUUAUACAAAAUCGAAUAGUGAAACCAAUGGCCCCACCAAUAUAGAACCUUUCCAAAUCAAGUCCAAAAUGUUACCAGUCAGCCCCUCCUCUACAAAAUCUUCUCAUCUUAGGUCCGGAACUUACCCUUUAGUCCCUGCUUCCAUAAAUCCUUACAAAUUAAGUCCCAAAAUUACACUUUAACCCCUGUAGAUUCAAAUCUUGACAUUUGACUUCCCGAAACCAACUCCCAACGAAUUAUGAUUUGGACAAUAAUAAUAUAAAAUAAUAAUAAAAAUUACUUCUCAGGGUUUCGGGUUUAUCAUUUAAUUGUUUUAUUUAAAACGGAAUGUUACAGAUAUAAAUGAUAAAUACAAUUAACAAAGUAAAUAACCAAAAUGACCUUUUGGUAAAGCGAAACUCACAGAAUAUAUCCUAUCUAACCAUGGGGUAAACCCAUUGGAACAAUUAAAGAUGAUGUAUGAAAUGAAGUAAGUUAAGCAUUUUAACAAACAAUUUGUGUGCAAAAAAAUUUGUGCUUUAAGGAAAUUUCAUGUAAAAUCACUUCUUUGCCUACUGUGAUAACAAUCACAUGAGGAAGUAAGUAAUAAAAAUCAAAUCCUAAAACUAUAGUUGCUAGUUUAUCCGGGUGGGAAUCAAAAAGCUUACCGGAGUUGAGGAUACGCCAGAUGCACGACGACUUUAAUGGUGGACGAAAAAGGGAGAGCAUCGGGCGCAGAUGGUGAACGAAGGAGUGAGAGAUGCAUAUUAGGAAAUGAUUCGCGUGUUGCCGAAUUUCUUGUGUGUUUAGAAAUGAUAUCCAACCUAAAACAUCAACAAUCCCAAUGUAUUGGAAAAUGCCAUACGAAUGCCACGUAUCCAUGAAGCCGAAGAUGGAAAAUUGACAAAACUAAAAACCAUGUUUUGUUCAUCGGCGGAAGCAAAACCACCUAACUCAUGCCAAACCUUCCAAGCCGUGAGCUCCAAACUUGUAACUAUUCAUAAGUCGUAUCCACAAUUAAUAUGUUAUAUAAUAUCCUACAAAUUGUAAGCACAAGACUAAACUGCAAAUUUGGUCCCUGUGGUUAUCAAAAAAAUAUGGACAUGGUCUAAAAUUUUUUCAACUUGCACCAUUGGUCCAAAAUUGAAUUCUUUUUGUGGUUUUGGUCCCGAGAAAAGUUGAAAUGACCUUUUUGCCCUUUUACUUUUAUUUUUGAAUUUCUUUAUUAUUUUUUUAACAUUUAAAAAAAGAAAAAGAAAAAAUAAAGUGGCCAAUAUUCUACCCACCCGUAACCCUGCUCUCUUUUUUACAUUCUUCAUCUCUUUGACUCCCCNNNNNNNNNNNNNNNNCCAUUCUCAUUCCUACCACCACUAUUGUUGUCUUCAUCCCUUGGCUUUGUCUAUGUUAAACACAUUAACCUGCAAACUUACCUAUGUUCUUUACGUUCUUCACAACCAUUGAUCAAAUAUCAAAACACAAAAAACACUUCGCAUGUAGAUACACCUACCUGCAACUUAGAAAAAACCUACCCUGCCCCCCCCCCCCCCCCCCCUCUCUCUCUCUCUCUCUCUCUCUCUCUCUCUCUCAGAUCUGCAAAAUCCCUUUUACAACACAAUUAAUAUGAUCGAUGACUACACCAAAAUAUCAUGGAACGGUGGGAGGUUAAUCUAAACCAUCCAUGCUAGAAACCAACCUGUAACAUUUUUCGUAGCUAUUCAACCUCUCCGAAAAAAGGUAGAAACUGGUCUCUAAGAUAUGAAGCACAAAAAAAACUAUGAGAUGUAUCAGAACAAUGGGGAAGAAGUAAACAAACUGAUUCCCACCCCGAGUCUAUUCCUGUCUCUGCCUCCUCCAUUCACUCCUCUACUCUCUCAUUGUUGGUUAUCCAAACACCAACAACCAAAUGAACAUAAUUGGUUCCUCACGAAUCCCCAAAUUGAAGAUCUCGCACAUAACCUAAUCAAGUAAAAGUGAGAUUUCUUCAACGGAGAUAAUAGUUGAAGCAAGCCCCACUUCUAAUGAACAUAUUGAAGAAACCCAAAAUAGAAAAAUUAGUUUUUUUUGUCAACAACUUCUCAAGCAUUGGAACUGAUCAAGAUGCAGGUCCUAAAGUAGAAACAAUCUUCGUUUUCGGCCUCUACUUACCUACUAGUUGCAGGCUCUGGUCAAUCGUCAUUUGAUCCAUAUUCUUUUCGAUCGAUUGGCUCUGUUAUAUUCUCCUUGGAAAACACCACCAACUCCUCAUUUGCAUCAUGUACAUCCCUUGGUGACAACGAAAUGGGUCGGUGCUGGAAUCUCAGCUUUCUUGUUGGUUUUGGUUUUAGUGUGUUUUGGUUUUUGAUUAGGUGAAGAAGUGGUGAAGUGAAGGAGUUCGAUGGGUAUCAUGUUCCAAAUUAGGGAUACAAGGCAGAAAAAAUGGGAUAAAUAAGGGAGAGAGAGAGAAAGAGAGAGAGAGAGAGAGAGAGAGAGAGAGAGAGAGAGAGAGAGAGAGAGAGAGAGAGAGAGAGAUAAGGGUACAUAUGGUGUGGGUGGCCCACUUUCUUUUUUCUUUUUCAUUUUUUCAAAUAUUAAAAAAAGUAAAGAAAUUCAAAAAAUAAAAUUAAAAGGGCCAAAAAGUCAAUUCAAUGGACUAAAACCACAAAAAGAAUUUGAUUUUGAACCAAUGGUGCAAGUUGAAAAAAUUUUAGACUCUAUCCACAUUUUUUUGAUAACCACAGGGACCAAAGUUGCAAUUUAGUAUAAGCACAACUGACCACUCUUACAAAUUUAAUAUAAUAUAUAUCAUUUUAUAAUUUUGUAUUAAACUAUUAUGAAAGUGGUUACUUAUUUAAAAGUUUGUAGAAAUCACUCGAUCUAGGCUAAUUGGUGGACUGGGGUCAAUGGUUAAUCGGUUAGAUGGGGAUUAAUUGGAGACCAUUAAGUAUUAAAAAAAUUAUUAAAAAUUAAUAAAUAUUACAUUAAUGCUAAGAAUAUAAGUAAACAAGUUAACAAAUAAUAAACAUGUACUACAUAAUUUAGUUUUAUUUUCAAUUUGACAUGCUAGCUAGAAGCUUGAUUAUCACGAAUGUCAUAAACACCAUAAGAACCACAUAAUACAUAUCGAUCACAAUUAUCCAUUUGUGCACUUAAAAUCAGGUGUUUCUACUUCCACCGAUAUCAAAGCACUGUGUGCUUUCCCAACCCAAUUGAAUGAACACAACAUAGUUCUUGAUAGCGAACUAAAAGCAUAGACCAUGCAGAUAAUUGAAAACUAUGAUGAAGCAGACAUUAAAAAUCGAUAAUAGAUAGAAAUGUAAUUAACCAAGAUCAAGCAAACAUUAAAAAUAUGAGAUCAAGCAGACAUUACAUACCUUGAGUAAGCCUUGAGUAAUUGACCAUUCCCAAACGGUGUCUGAAGUUGUAAAAUUCCUUUAAACCAUCAACAAUGUUGGUUGGUUGCAACGUUCUAUUCUACAAUUGUUGAGCACCCUUGUGAUAUUACCUUUUUAACCUUUUUCUAAAUUUCUAACUUCCUAAAAAGCAUCAUCAAACAUGUCUCCCUUUCUUCAACUUCAACGUCAUUAGAAGAGCUAACACUAAUAUAAAGAUUACUAGGCUUAAUGACUUGUACCCCGUCCUCUGAAUCAACAAGCUUCCCAUCUUCUUCAUCCACAACUUCGCCUACAUCAUUUUCUAGCCCAAUUUCUCUAUUUCAUUCCUUUUAUUCUUGAACUCCAUUGCAGGUUUGCAUCGCUAGUCAGUGUCAUCUGAAUGAAAAGAAAGAAUUAUCUUCAAAAGGUCGGUCCGCCUUACAAGUGUUUGAUGAAACGUCUGAAAAAAGUGAAUACUGAUUGCUAAGAAUAAAUUUGUUUCAUGUGUUUGAUCUUGAUUUCUAAUUCUUCAUUUUUCUUCCGACCUUACUAUAUGAUCUUGUUUUGCCACCAACACUUGAUCACAAAAUGUUAUGUCCAACUGCAUAUCAGUCUUCUGUUGUGCUCCUAUUAAUGAUACCAUUUGAGAACAUCUUUUUCAAAAUACUUCAUCGCAACCUCCAAACUUUCAUCACUGGAAAAUCGAUUUAGGGAAAAAAUUUGGUUUUGGUUCUUGAAUUGCCCUCUGUUUCUUGAUCUUUAUCCAUCUUCAAAUGUUAAUCUAUUUAUUUUAUUUGAUUCUUCUUGAAAUAGCACAACUGACAUAUUUUCCUCUUCCAGGUACCCCAUAUUUUGUUCUUGCUGAUAAUUUUUUAAGAGAUGAAGGUUUUGUUUCACUCUUUUAGGAUUUGUUCCUUUUUUCAUCUUCUUCCUAAACAUCAGCUGACUAAAGAAACUUGGAUGCGCUGCUCUUAGUUAUAUCAAAAUAUAUAUUAUUUUUUGUUUAAGAGGCUUAUUAGAUAAAGCUGACUAAAAAAAUUACUUAACAAGUGACAUUAAUAGCAAAAGAUGAAGAUGAAAGUACAUACAUGGGGGUAGUGUUCUGUGGCCUGUGUGUAUGUGUGUGUUUUAAUUAGGGAAAAAAAAAAUUUGUUUUUAAUAAGAAAACAUGCUUCAAAAAGAAAACAUGAAACCAGGAUGCUAAAAUAAAGUCAAUGGAAGUACAUGCUAUUUCCAGCAUAUUCUCUUUGACUUUGAACUAUGUUUUAAAUUCAAAAUGCAUGGUACCUUUGAACAAAAAAAAAAGGUUUAAUUGUAAAGGAUAAAAUAAAAAGGUUGGAUUUUGACAUAGACAUUUAUGUUGUGAUCGUUUGAGGGGUGACAAUUAACUUUUGUCCAACCAGAGUUUAACCAACUCAUCUUCAAAGGGCAAUAUAACAUACUCACUGCAAAUUCAUUUCUGGACUUCAGACAUACACUUAAGUAGGUUUAUUCUCACUACUGGAAAACAGGUAAUACAAUACACCCUCAUCUAAUACGGUUGUAAUGAAAACCGUAUUAUAAAAUGGCUAAAUUAAUUUAAUACACACAAAUGAAGAAAUCUAAUAGGCUUAAUUAGGUCAGGUGUAAUAGAUAAUAUUUCCAAUUAAAAUUUGUAUUUUUACAAUUAUUAACAAACUUUAGCCUUUGCAUCGACCAGAAUGUUUAACAAAACAUUGGAUGUUCAUUUGACGCAACGUCAAAAUCGAAUUGACCGUUCAUUUGUAUUUUUCCCAUUUUGCCCCUGUAGAUUGCCUUCACUCUUUUCUGGUCAAGCGGCUUACUUAUCAAAGAAUCGAUGAACGACAACAUCAACUGCAAAAUUGAUCACUCUUUCUCUCUCUCUCUCUCUCUCUCUCUCUCUCUCUCUCUCUCUCUCUCUCUCUCUCACACACACACAUACUCUCGAUCGAUCAAUCGAUCGACAUACUCCGACGCCUCUCUUCACUGGCGAGCACCUCUUCAAAACUCAUCGUCAAUCAAGCUAAUUCAGUGUCUCUUCAUCGCCGAUUCAAAAUUGAUUUCAGAUUUAAAUUCGUCGGGUCUUCAGUAUUGAACAACCAGGUGUUCUUUCUAAUAAGUUGUUUAAUUAAUGUCACAAUACAUUAGCAAUUGAUAGAGUUAAUUCCAUGUUCAAACUGUUCAUUCUAUUGCAUAUUUGGUCAUUUGAUUUCCGUUUAUUGGAGUACAUUGACAACUGUAUAUGCAUGAAACUUACGUUUCUUCAUCUGGUUCGUUCUUUGCAGCUCAAGUUCCUCACCCUCAUCUCCAGCCUUCAUCAGAGAACCUUCCGUAACUAUUUCCCAUGGCGUCUGCUUCUCUCUGCACAUUUCAAUAACGAUUCCGAUCUCCUCAGCUUCAAAUCCCCUCUCCUUUAGCAACAUUUCUUCAAUUGGAUUUUCUGAGAGAAAGAAGGUGUUCAUUCUUAACUUUGUUCCUAAUUUUUUGAUUUUCUUAGCAUCAUUUUACAUAACCAGUUGAAAAUUUUGGGUUUUAGCUACAUGUUUUCACUAUGGUUUGAAUAUAACCUGUCUUUUUAUAAAAUGAAAUAAUUAACUGAAACAAACAAACUGAUGCCAAACCGAGAUUAGUAUGAAUCUACAUAUCUGCUAGAUAAUAAUAAUUGAUUAUAUUGAUUACAAACGAGAGUGUUCUCAUUCUAAUGAUUUUCAAUGGAUAAUGAGAUUGGUGUUACAUCUGCCACUAACUUUGAUAUCCUUAUCCGGUUUGAUUAAUGUUAAAAAUGUUAAAAUGGAGAUUGUUGUUGGUAAUGUGGUAUAGACCCCUUGUAAUUAACUUUGUUUAUCUUAGUGCAUAACUAAAAUUUGACUGUAGAUUUCAACAUUCUAGAACUGAAUGAUAGCUAUGGUUUCUUGAAUAGUGCAGGAGCAUCCAAAAUAAUCGGAGUUUUGUUCAUAGAAUCAUGUGUUCAUCAAAAGAGCCACCAGCAGAAACAGGGCUCACAUCAAAAGCAUUUGAAUCACUAAAGAUUGGGUCAACAACCAUCAUAGUGGAAGCUCCUAAAAUGUUGAAGACAACAACUUCUUUGCCUUGUCUCAGAGUUAAUUCUGUUUUAGUUAAAGCCGAUGAUGUUGGCAGGUAAAUUUUUUACCGAACAUCUAUAACAAGAGAGCUUUUUGGUGGAAUUUUUUCAUUAUAAAACUUUAAAUGAAAAAGCUCCUUUUAUCUCCAUAAUAGAAACGUUAUUUUAGUUUGUUAUUUGUGGGGACCUUGUAUAUGUUGUCUAUAUACAAUUGGUUGAAAACCCAUGGAUCCACCAAAUCAUUGAAAGCUUGUUAAUUAACAAGCUCUUUGAAAAAGAUCAUCCAAUAACUUCUUCAAUUUUCUUGAGUUUUUUUUUUUUUACAUGAAAAAGCUCCUAUUGUGAUGUUCUUAUUAACUAGUUAUUUGGUUUCAUUUCAUACCUUUUUUUAGUAAAUAUCAUAUAUGCUUAAUAAAUUUGGAACCAGUUAAAAGGGUGAAGGAUAUCUUUAAUUAAUAUACACUAACAGAGACAAUGGUGCCUUUAAAGAGAAACUUAUUAAUUUCAUGAACAAAAGUUGAUCUAUAUUAUAGCAAAUUUUUUUGAAGGUUGUGUUCAAAGUAAACAACUGAUUUUGAUAUUUCCAUUUCUAAACUAUACUUAAGAGUAUUACUUUGAUGGAAGAUCAUAGACACAUCCUCAAGAUUAUAGUUUUUGAUUAAAGUAAAAAACUAAGAAUACACAUUUGAUAUAUAAGAAAUAAGGAAUAUUAUCACCAUAACUAUAGCAUGCCACCGAUGUUAUCUUGUUUAAUGCACCUUGUGUGCAAGAUUUUAUUAAGGCAUUGUAUUUUUUUUUUUUUUUUCGAAUUUACCAUUUAUAGCAUCUUACUUUCAAUUUUUCUUUUUGUUUUUUAGAUAUUAUUCUUUGAAAAUUUUAUCAACUACUUUGUAAUUUGUAGAGAUUGAUCCUUCGCUCACAACUCACAUGGGAGGGACAAUGAGUUUUUAACAUCAUUAUAAAUGGUGAUAACAUGUUUCAAGAGAUUAAUAUUGUCAAAAUGAAUGGAGAUAUUAAUAGUGCUCUUGUGCUAACAGUCCAUGUUAGCAGGAGGAGUUUGACAAUAAUUUUGCAGCUUGUAAAAGGUAGUCAUACCAGUCAUAUCAUAAUCAGUGCCAUAGAGACCAUAGAGAUCUUUGAAAUUGUUAGAGCCGAGGCCAAUACUUCAAUUGAUUAAGGUACUUUUAAAACAUUUCUUGGAAUUUGAAGCUUUGAAAAGGAUUCUUAUGAAGUAAAAAUUAUUUUUUUAUGUUGUAGUAAAAGCUUUGCAGAAAUUGAAGAGUUCUUUUCAGUUGGAAUGGCGAUCCAUGUGUUCCACAGCAGCAUCCAUGGAGUGGGAUUGGGUGAUGAAUAAGGCUAGAAUGCACAGCCGGAAUGGGCUAGAAUGUAAUCAGGAAUGCAUUGCAGGAAUGGGGGAUGUGACAUCAAGUACAAUUGUUUAUGGUGUAUUAGAUUCUUUUAUGUGAUGGUUUUAAUACUAUAGAUAGGAUACAUAUAGAGUACAGUUAAAUUACAGGUAAUUGCUGGUUGUUAAUACUAAGUAAUGGGAUUUAACAUUUAACUUAGGUAAGGUAUAAUUUAAUGUAACAAUGUGAUUUGAUGACUUGAACAUUGAUUUACUAAUGAACAUAUAAGCCUUUUGGAAACAUAAAGGGUAUAUUAUUAUAUACUCAUAAAGAAAAGAAAGGUAUAUGGAUGGAUAAUCCUUCUAGCACUAUAUUUCCUAGAAAAUUUGUCCAUCCUAAGUAUAUUUGUCAAAUGUGUAUAAAAAAAUAAUAAUUGAUUAAAUGUGUACAACUGCAAAACUUCAUUACUCUCACCAGUUUAAUUGUCGACGGUGAAGUCGUCAGAAACCAAGGUAACCUUUAAUUACAGAUCAUAAUGGUACUUUUUUUAAUACUUUAAGUAAGUUUAAUGGUCACACGUGUACAAAAAAAACUGACCAAAUGUGAACAAAUGUGAUAGAUGGUUACCCUCAUAAGACAUUUUCCCUUUUUAUUAUAUACUCUUAAUGGUUAUUAUUAUUAUUUUUGUUAAAAAAAAAAACUUUCUUAAAUAUAAUUAGAAAAUAUGAACUUUUUAUGAUGCCUUAUUUCACACAACACUGGAAAAUGGCCACCCAUGGUGUCGGUGGCAAUUUUAUUGAUAACUGAGACUUAAAAACCCGUGCCAAAUACAAAAAUUAAACAUGGUUUUACAUGACUAUCUAUGUUCGUCUUUUUUGCAAAUUUGCAAUGAACACCACCACCUUCACAUAAACCCAAUCUUCAAAGCUAUCAAGAAACAUAAAAAAAGCAAAUCUUCCACGACGGUUGACAAGCAAAGCACCACAUGCUAUGCAAAAUCCAACUGUGAAACCAAUGGCCCCACCAACAUAGAACCAACCUUGAAGUUCGUCUAUACCUUCACCCUCACUUUCACCAAUGCUAUGUUGUAUUCCCGAUUCUUCGUCUCCAUGACAUUUUUUGGUAAGGGGAGGUCCACAAAGCCCUAAGUUCCCUUCGUAUCUUGAAGGGUCAAAGGUCUGAAGUUGUGUGCUGGAUGGGAUUCUCCCUGACAAGCUAUUAUCUGAGACGUCUAGGUAAUUUAGCCAAGUCAUUUGAGACAUGCUUGAUGGUAUUUCUCCUGAAAACUUGUUUCUAGAUAAAUCCAAAGUUAAAAGGUUUUUCAUCUGACCGAUUUUCCAUGGAAUCUUUCCAAGUAGAGCGUUUUUAGAUAAGUUGAGUGCAAUCAGUUGAUCAAGAUUGGUAAUCUGAUAUGGGAUUUCCCCUGUUAAGCUGUUGCUUGACAGGUCGAUGCUCCUCAACAAUACCAUAUUACUUCUGAUGAAUUCCCGUUCGGUUCCUUGCCACUGGAUCAUCACAUGGUCAAUAUUAUAUGAAUAUGUUCCUAAUGAAACUCCACGAUCUAAAUUCUGUAGUUGAGAGAAUCCUUGUUGCACCAUGAUCGUAAGAUUACUCAAACAUGAGGGGAUGCUUCCAUGUAAAUGGUUCACGGACAAGUCUAGAAUUUGAAGACUUGCUAAUUGACAUAAUUGUAAAGGGAUGCUUCCAGAGAAGUUGUUUGAUCUUAACAUAAGAACAUACAACCCAGAUAAGCUUUCCCCAAUCCAAACAGGCAAAUUACCAGAAAACUUGUUGGCCCCCAAAUUCAAUGACUUUAAGCUCGUGCAAUUCUUAACAGACAAAGGAAAUUCUUCGGAGAAAGCAUUCUUGUAUAAAUCCAAUGCCUCUAGCUUAAUCAUAGAUCCCAGAGAGGCAGGAAGCCUUCCAGACAGAUUAUUGUGUUCUAAAUUAAGAACUUUUAGUUCUUUGAAAUGCCACAAACAGUCUGGAAUUUGUCCGCUUAGAAAGUUAUGAGAGAGGUCAAGAAUAACUAAAAAGCCAUGGACAACUUGGCAUAAGAAGGAGAUUCCUCCAGAGAAUUUGUUUCUGGAAAGAUUUAGUAAUGCCACAGUGGAAGAGACAUUAGUUAUUGGACCGUCAAAGCUGUUGGAGCUUAAAUCUAUCCUUGAAUUGCUGUCAAAAUUUGAUGAAAGAUCUGGUACUUUCCCGCUUAUGUUGUUUGAAGAAAGAUUCAAGAAUGUUAACUGGGAAGGCCACAAGUCCCAAAACUCAAGAGGAAUUGUAUCUGAAAUACCAUUAUUUGCAAUUUCAAGAUUGGUGAGAUUUUUCAAUUUUUGAAUCCAUUUGGGGAAGUGAGGCCCUAGCUUGCAAGAGCUCAGAUAAAUAGAUUCUAUAUGAGAACGGUUUGACAUGUAAUCUGAGGAAGGAAAUUCUUGGAGUGAGUUUUCGGAAAGAUCAAGAUAUUUAAGGUUGGGCAGUUCCCACAGUUUCUUACUUAUAGUUCCUUUUAACUGAUUCUCAGAGAGGUACAGAUCUGUUAGGGAUGUGAACUUUUGGAUGUCAUCAGGCAAUGACCCUGUAAAUUGGCUUCCUGAAGCAGACAACCGUUGUAAUGAAAGCGAUGUGCAUCCAGACAAGUUUUUGACAAAAUCAGGAAAUUUGAUAACACCAGAGUUGUUAUAGAAGUAAAAACGUUCCAAACUAGAGAGGUUACCAAGAUAUUUGGGUAUCCCAUCUAACAUGUUGCCAGAGAGAUCAAGAAUGUAAAGCUUAUUGUUGGUUAAUGGGAACAACCAAUGAUACAUGGAUGAGGUGAGAUUAUUGUUUUUGAGAGAAAGGAUAUGAAUAGAUGAAGAAGAGUUGAGAAAUGAAGAAGAAUAUGGAUAAAUGACCUGUGACAGCUCACAUCCUGAUAAACUUAAAAGCGAGAGGUUCGGGAGACUCAGAGUAACAUCUACCCAAUGAUUUGUUUUGGCCAGUGAAAUCCCAUCCAUUGCAAGUCCCACCAGAUGAGACAGAGGAGACAACCACUCAAGGUUCUCAAGUCUACACAUUCCAACAUAUGAAAGGUAAAGGUAUUGCAAGUUGGUGAGGUUUCCCAACUCUGGAGGAAUGGCUCCAUUAAGAUUAUUGUAGCCAAGGAAAAGGUGACUUAAUUGAGUCAACGAACCAAUGAUCGCAGGAAUGGUUCCAUGAAAAGAAUUGAAGUCAAGAUCCAGAUAAUUCAAGUAGGUUAAAUUAACCAAUGAAUGGCUAAUCUCACCUACAAGACCACAGUUCAUCAGAUCAAGCUUUGUGACAUGACCACCUGUUUGGUUGUUGCAUGUCACUCCACUCCAUUGACAGCAGUUGUCUUGUUCAGCUGUCCACGUAGAGAUGCGAUCAGAAGGGUCUUGAAGGAGAGAUUUGAAAUGAAGGAGAGCGUCUUUCUCCUUCUCAAAACACUUAUCAUCUCCUCCUCCCACUGCUGCCAAUUGGUUGGCAGUUGUAAUCUCAAGACAAAACAAGAGAAGUGAGAAUAUUAUAAAAACACAAGGAUGCAUGAUGUAAAUGCAAAUCUUAUUUGGUGAUUUUUUUUGUUUGUAUUGAUGAAAAUUUGAAGAUGCCCCAUGCAGCCUUAUAUAGUGCUGCCAACUGUGAAAAUGAAGGAUUCAAUAAUUCUCAUGAGAACAGUAGGAACAUAAUGCUUUUUUCCUUUUUUUUUCAUCAGUAUGAAAACAUUUUUUUAGGCUAAAAAAUAAUAAACUCUGGAAUUUUUUUAAUAAAAUAAAACACUAAAAAAUGAAAAAUCAACACCAUAUUCUUCAAUGAAAUAAAGUGCUAUAAAACACUUCCUAUAGCAACAUCCAUAUAGAUGUCUAUUUUCACAUCAUAAAAAGAUAUUUUGGUAGAUUUGUUUUUAUUUUUUGAAAAAAAAAAUAAUGCCCUAAUAAAUAAAAAGAAAAUAAAAACAUCAGAAUAGAGACUUUGCAUAUCAACAUGGAUGUUUAUUUGUACAACAUAAAAAUAUAUAAAUUUGGGUCUUUUGUUUUAUUUUUCCCGAAAAGUAAUAUAACCUUAAAAAAUAAAAGAUAACAGGGAUUAGGCAUAUUCAUCAACAAAUGGUUUAUUAUAUCUCAUUUUUACAACUAUAUUCUUUACAAAAAAAAAAAAAAUACUGAAAUUAUUAUUUUUAUGCUCUAAAAAAAGAUAUCAAUAUAAAAGGUUCCUACCAUUUUUAACAAGAAUUAUCUUUCUUGCGUUUACACUUUACACACACCUAGUGAGUUGUGAUUCGUGUGGAGCAUAAAAUCCUUAUUUUCCUUUGAAAUAGAACCAAACUAUGAAAGAAAUUAGAAAAGAAGAAUUGAAAUAAACUGCCACAAAUCAAACGUUCAAAGAUUUAUAGACUCUGUAAGGCAUAAAAGCCUUAUUUUCCUUGAAAUAGAACCAUUCAAACUAUAAAACAACUUUAAAAAAAAAAAAAAAAAAAAGGACAAUUGUAAUGGAUAGCUAGCCCCAUAUAAGACUUUCAAGGACUUUCAAGUCUUGGAAAUUUGUAUUUUUCCUAUACAUAUCUUUUUUCAUCUUAUCAUAUCUUUCGAUCCUCACUUUAUGUCAUUGUAAAUCCACAAAAGCAAACUAAUCAUUCAGGAAAAAAGGACAAAUGGUGGGUUAGUGCCUGGAAACAACCAUAUAUAGCUAGCUGUCCAGAUCAAGUGCUUAAUUAUUAAGCCUAUUAAGUCAUAAAGAAUCAGUCCCUAAUGGCAUAAGAGCUGAGUGAUAAAUGAUGAGUCUCCAGAGAAUGUAUUGGAUAAAAUAAGGCUAANUGAGUCUCCAAGAAUGUAUUGGAUAAAAUAAGGCUAAUUAUUUAUGUAUUUUGGAUUGAAUGAACCAUUCGAAUAAGAGAAAACAACCAUUUUACCCUUCCAUCUAAAAGUAAUGUAGAAUACCAAGUUGUUGUUUGUGAGAACUAUUAAAAUUUUAAACUAAAAAUCACUUUUAUAUAUAUACGACCAUGAGACUUACAUAUGUUUGUCAAAAACUACCAUAACUGUCUUUUGUCAAAGCAAACUUGCAGUGUAAUCUUACCAUUAUUUUCUACAGAUAGAGCAAAAUCCUUUUGGCUUUUGCAAUGCAUUGUUUCCCCAGACAACAAAUCAGAAUGCAAACGACUUGUUAUAUUCAGAAACAUUGAAUUAAACCCCAAUUUAACAAGGAUUCAUGCCUCUCAUACUCCCCUUGGGUUAUUAAACAACUUCUAUUUAUGUCUAAUUGAGACAAUUCUUCCAAUCCUAUGCAGAUUUAAUCUCCUACACAGAUUUUUAUGAAACCAAUUAGAAAAGUUCCAACUUCCAACAUAAACAUUAACCGAAACAACUCUAAUUUAUGGAAUCUAUUAAAAAUUUGUCAAUUGAAACAAAAAGGCACCGUUUAACGUCAAAACUGAAAAUUAAUAAUAAUAAUAAUAUUAAAUGUGAGCAAGAGAAACAUUAUUCAACAGAAAAUGGAGAACAGAGAGUCGAGAAGAAAAAUCGAGAUUAAGAGAACAAAAAGAGAAUAGAUAUAUCGAGUAUUGAAUAGUUGAGAUGAUCCAACAACUUACCUGAUGGAAGACCGAGGGAGGAACGACGAAGACAUCUUGGAACAGUGAUGGAAGAUGGAGAAGAGAAGACGAAGCGAAGGCUGUAAAAACUGAAAAGAAAAGUAGGGUUAAAGGAGGACGAGGGUAAACGAGUAAAAAUCAAAUUCAUAAGCUAAAAGGGGAUAACAAAACCAAACCCACAAACAAAAAAAUCAAUAAUCGAUAAAAACCAAUAAAAUUAAAAAACCAAAAAAUUGAACCAAAAAUAGUUUGAGUUUUUUUUUUUAAAAAAAAUAUAUAUAUAUUUGGUUUGGUUUCAGUUUUAAAAAAAUAUAAAACCGAACCUCAAAUUUUAUGAAAUAUAUUUAUUCACUGAAUUAUAUGGUAUUUAUUUAUUGUGUGAGAGAUAAUAAAAAUCGAAGUUCUGUUUGGUGAUUAAGCAGGGCCGGCCUUGCCUUGUGUCAAAUUAAGCAAGGGCUUAGGGCCUUGCUUGUUUACUUUUUAUUGUAUUUACCUCUUAAUUUUACAUCUAAAUAUGGAACCGAAUAAGCGUGAGGACGAAUAAGUGUGAGGAGGAAGUCUAAAAGAAAAAUGCACAUGCUUGCCCUUCCCCCGUAUGUCUCCCACCAACAAAAAAAAUUUAUUGGGUUGUUCGUUUUUAAAAAGCUAAUAAGUUGAAAAAGUGUUUGACAAACUCAAAAGUAUUUUUCAUAAUAGUUUUUCCAUUAGUUUCAAAAAACACUUUUUAAAAAGCAUGUAAAACUUGGUUUUUAAAAACUGCUUUUGACUUUUUAACCAAAAUAACUUCAAAAAGCACUUUUUAAACCAAACACAUUUUAAUUUAUUGACUUAUUGGCUUUCUCAUCAUAAAAGUUAAUCCAAACACUUUUAAAAAACUUAUUUUACCACCACUAUAAGCCAAUAAACAUUUUUAUAUAUCGCGUCGUUCCGUAGUUUAAUAAAAGAAAAGAAGAGAAGAUAAAAGAAAGUCAUAAGAGAAAAUAAAAAAAGAGGAGAAAGGAAAGGAAAACAAAAUUUUGUUUUGAGUUCCCGAGUUGGAGAGAAAUGGAAGGAAAAUGAAUCAUUUUGUUCUUUCUUUCCAAAUCCUCCCAAAUCGGAAGGAAAGUUAGGAGGGAAAAUGAUCCUCUCAUUUCCCUCCACUUCCUUCCUUUAAUGAAACUUAGAAACACCAAUUUGUUUUAUUUUCUUCUCAUUUCCACCCAUUUCAUUUCCUUUCUCUCGUUAAGUUGAACUCGGGAACGGGGUGUAAAAGUACUUCUAGAGUUCAAAAAGCACUCACAAACACCCAUUUAAUAAAGUAUUGUGUUUCAUAUACAAGGCAAUCCUUCUCCUUCAUUGUUUUCUGAUAAACUCCUUUUGCAAAUUUUGUGUUGUUUGUGGUUUGUUUCCAACGGGCCUCAAACUACAAGCCUAUUUGUUGGUCAUUUAUUUUAGCAAAUAAGAUAAAAAUAUUAUCCAGCCAAGUGAAAGUACAAUACAUAAAAUAUUAGUUUAAAUCUCUCUCUCUCUCUCUCUCUCUCUCUCUCUCUCUCGCACACACACAGGAAUAAAAUUCUUGUUUUUUUUCAUCAACAUAGAAACAUUUUUUAAGGAUAAAAAUUAAUAAAUUCAGGAAAUUUAUUUGAUAAAUAAAACACUAAAAAAGGAAAAAUCAACAUCAUUCAUCAUGGAAUAUAAUGUAAAAAAAUGAAGUUUAAUACCAAUAUGGAUGUUAAAGUAUAAGACAUAAAAAAUAUAAAUUUUGGUAUAUUUGUUAAAUAUAAAUAAUUAACAUUCAUCCGUUAGCACUACAAAUUCAUCAAUGAAAUAAAGCUCUAUANAGCGGCUUUUGAAAGCUACGAUUGCUGAUCAGGUUCUGAAGUCAUACGGAAAAUAGUUAUUAGACUUAUCCAAGUGGGAGACUGUUGGAUUAGUGUCUAAGUCCAUAACUAUUUUGGUAUGUACUUGACCCGAUUAUGAGCAUGGUCCUUUUGGGUUGCCUUCACCAUAGCAAUAUGUAGGAUGAAUUAAGGAGAGAGAGGUUUAAAUAUGAUUUAUUAAUAUAUUAUGAGAAUAAUAUAUUAAAGGAGAAAUCAUAUUGUUUAAUUAAUAUUAGUCAAGAAUUAAUUGAUAAUUAAUUUUGUGGCUAAAAGAGAUUAAUUAAAUUUAGGGGACUGGACUGCAAUUAUUGGAUAAUUGAGUUAUUGGGCUAAGGAAUGCUAAAGGAAUAAGGGGUGAACGAAAUUAUGAUGGGAGCCCAUCAUAUUUUCGUCCAUAGCCAUAUCCAAAAGGUUCCAUGGGCUGCUUAGAGUUUAAGCUGCCCAUUAGGGUUUUGACUGAAACCAUAGCAGCCCACACAAGUAUAUAAAGGACCCCUUAGGCCCUAAAAACGUGGACAACUGAUUCUCUAGGGUUUCUAGCCGUUUUUGGGCAGCCUCCUUUCUUCUCCUCUUCAUCCAAGUUGUAUAUGGUGUUUGUGACUCCAUUAGAGGUGCAACACUUGAUGCACUAAGCUUUUGAAGCCAAUUCAAGCAAGGAAUUGAUUGUUAUUGCUAUAUAACAAUCAAAGGUAAUUCUAUAAACCCUAAUUCAAUUUAUUAUAUUUUAUAUCUAAGUUUAUUAGUCUUGGAUUCAUUGCAUGUACAAUAGAGAAACCUAGAUCCAAGCAUUAGGGUUUGUAUGAGCACAUAGGAUUGUUCUUAUGCCUAAAACCCAUCAGAAUAUAGACCAAUGGUUUUAGUUCUUUUAAGUAAUGAUUUACCUAUCUUUAUAUCAGGAGACACAUGUUUAAAUUAAGAAACACAUGUUUAAUUAAUGAAAAUUUCGGAUUUUAAGGGAUACUGAUUCUUUUAAUUUUGAAUUCUGAUUUUUUUAAUUAAUUCAUUUUUAAUUCUAACAUAAUUUUUGAUUUUACUCGAAUUUAUUCUUUUAGAUUGCAAUUCUAUUAGAACAAUAUUCUAUGAAAAUUCCAUAAUAUAUUCUAAUAGAGUACAUAUUUUGAUUGAAGUAACUUCUUGUAGCAAAACAAUAUUCUUGAAGUUUCAGUUGAAAUAUAACGUAAUCUUUAUAUAUUCAAACAUUGAAAUGUAAAUAUAGAUUCAUACAUCUUCUUACAGAAAGAGAGAGAGAGAGAGAGAGAGAGAGAGAGAGAGAGAGAAUGACAGUGAGGUGUGAGGCACAGGAAGAAGAAAGAAAUAUGUGUUUUGUAUGGUCGGUUAGGGUUUUUAAUUCUUAAACUAUAUUGCCUAAACUAAAGGGAUUAAUUAAAUAUUUAUUUAAUUAAUAAAAUUAAUUAAUAGAUAACAUUAAAAAUUUACCUUAUUUAGGUUUUUAAAUGAUUGGCUCNUAUAUAUAUAUAUAUAUAUAUAUAUAUAUAUAUAUGACAAAACUUCAAAAAUGGUCCCUAUGGUUUCACAUAAAUCUAAAGUUUGGUCCCUAAUUUUAAAAAACCUCACGGAUGGUCCAUGUGGUUUAAAAACGUUUAAUAUUUAGUCCUUCCGGCUCACUCUGUUACCAUUUAGCAGUUAAAUUGUUUCUCAACAUUAAAUUGCAGGGGCAAUAUUGUCGUUUCACUUUUAACCUUUACUCUUUAAAAGAAAGAUUGCAUGCUCGAUUUUUGUGCAAACCCUUUAUCUGUGAUCAUCAUCUCUCUUUUCCCUUCCGUUGUUGGUCGACUGUUACACCCUUUACAAUAUCUAAUCGCUUCGCAUUCAAAGAUGGUGACUUGCUGAUGUAGGAAUAAAGCAAUGAAUAUCACUUCAUGGACGGAUCGUAACCUGGAAGGAAAUUUUGGAACUGUACAAGAUGUGGGUUCCUUCGAUGGUCUGACCCUCCUAUGUGUGUUAGGGCAUUAGUGGUGAUUCCGGGUUUGAUAAGAUAAAUGAAUCAAUUGGAAGAGAAGGUUGCUAUUACGAGUGCAGAACUAUGGAACUACCAGCUGAUGUUGUUUUGUUCAUGGGUGUUCUUUUUUUGGUUUUAUUUUAAUCAGUAUGUAUCUCUUUUCGGAUGGAUAUCUAUUUUCGUUUUUAUUCAUUAUUCGGGGGUUGAUGAAAGAAACCAUAUAGUUAUAUGAGUAAAAUAAACGACUUACCAAUUUGCUACGAAAGCAAAUAGGCCUUGUGUUGCGGAUAGAACGUUAUAGGCAAGAGCUCCUGUAGCUUCAUCUUAGUAUAUUUGAGCACACUUCAGGUCACUCCGCUAUUUCCAAAGGAAGAAAGGAAAGACUUUCUAGUUUCUUCUUGCUUGAGCUGAGCACUUAAGCCUUAUGUUAUUUGAUAUUUUUCAAAAAUUUACACUAACACUUCUAACUUUGAGCUUUCAACUAUCAACUUUUUUUUUGAACAUAUGUUUAAACUCUCUUAAUUGAUAGUUCGUAGGAUUGAACCCCACCCCCACAUUUCAAAUUUGGGUGGCUUGCCACUAGAAAAAAAAUUGAUAUUUAAUUUUGUAAUACAUUUUCUUAAUCUUGUGCAACUAUUUUCUUUCCGAAAAAAUGUGUUUGUAUAUAUAUGACUAACUAGUUUCUAACCCGUGGAAACCACGGUUACUAAAUUAAUUAACCUCUCAUAGUAAAAAUUCGUACUUAUUAAUCAAUUAUUUUAAAUAAAUUAUUAAUUAAGAGAUAUAUGAAAAUUUUAAAGUUAUUUAUAACUUCAAAUUUAACAUAUAAUUAAAAAAAAAGUAAAUGUUUCUAUAAAAAGUUUAAAUUUUAUUAUUAAAAAACCUUAUCGUCAUUAAUUAUGAUAGUGGUUUGCUUAAUAUAUUUUUCCUGACAUGUAGCAUAAUAUUAAUGAGAAGUUGUAUUAAAGUGAUAUAUGUCAAAAGAAUAUUAAAGUUAUUCUUUUAUUAGUAUUAGUAUAGGGAUGGAUUUUUUAUUUUUGAGAAAUAUUUGGUCAAAUGAGUGUGAACUUUUUAUUUUAAAAAAUAAAAAUAAAAAUAAAAAUGAGUGUGAACUAAUGAAAUAUUCAUAGUAAACAAUUAUAGGGAUAUUAAGUUUUCGGUUUCCAUUCACACACAUAAUCAAUUGUUGACGUGGCCUUUAACAAUUUUGUUUGAGCAUAUAAUUGGUGGUUGGUGUAUGACACUUUAUAUGUAUGUCCUACAUGUUGUUUUGCAAUAUCAUGUGUUUAUGGUUACACUCAAAGAUGGAUAAUGUUCCUGAUGGAUGUGUUUUAGAGGCUGAAUUUGUUAAUAAUAUAGACAUUAAAGCAACCACUAAGAUUUCUAUAUAAAUUAAAAAUAAAAGCAUCCACGACGUCCCUACUUCACUUAUACCAUUACAUAACAAGAUGUUGAGUGCUCACCAAAUAAUCUUAAAAGAGGACCAAUGAAUUGUCAAAAUUAAAUUUAUUGAAAUAUAUGCCUAUUACCCUAUCUUAAUUUUGAAAGAAUCAGAUUUAUUUGUUUGGAUUUAAUUUGGACAACUUGUUGUAGGACAUUGCCACUUUUCCAUGUGUUACAUAUUUGUUCGUGGGCUUAGUCAGCAAUGCAAUUGGACUCACUAUUCAGGGCUUGUAGGAGAUCUGGUUGGACCUGCAGUGUUGAUACAAGCCAAGAGUAGGACCAAAAGUGAGAGAAGUUGUAGAAGUUAAGGACGGGGGCUUGUGUUUGAUAUUCUUAGUCAACACUCGGAUCUUUUAACCCAGUUUCCGACCCGAUCGUUUAACCUAGUUUCCGACCCGAUGGUGUUAGUAACACCCAUGUAUAUAAGGCUAGAUCAACCACUAAAUUUUGCAUCACUACAAGAAAGUAGAGCAUUACCGGCGACAGACGUCGUCGCUAAAAGCGCGCCUUGUCGCCGCUAAUAGUAUUAGCGGCGACGUGUCGUCGCUAAAACGUCGACGCUGAUGUUUUGUCGCUAUUAAUCAAACUGUCGCCGCUAAUGCGUGUCUGUCGUCGCUAAAACCCGUCGCCGCUAAUAAGCACACGUCGUCGCUAAAACUCGUCGCCGGUAAUAAGCUAUUGUCGCCACUAAAGGUGUCGCCGGUAUUAGUUUUUUUCUUUUAAAAAAAAAAAAAACUAGUAUGAUAUUAAUUAAUCUAAUCCUACAUCAUUCCAUUCCAAAAUAUUAAUACAAUAUCCGUUUAAAAUACUCGUCUGAUUUAACCUAGAACAAAAUAUCGAAAAUACUAGUCUAAAAUACUUGCACAAAUAAAACAUAAAAAAAUCCUACAACUAUCUACUCGUCAUCAUCGCUCUCCUCGUUUCCUCCGGUUUCAUUUCGUUGUGGCAACGAACGAAACCAAUCUUCAAGUGCAGCACUACAUGCCGGAUCUUUUAACAUUGUUUGAAGCAUUUCCAACUACAAAUAAAACAACAUAGUCUUAUAAGUAAACUAGCAUUAUAACAUUCUAUAUACAAAAUAUACAUUCCACAUAUUGGGUAUAAAACAUUAUAACAUUGUACUAUAACUAAUAAUUACCAAAUUUUGAAACUAUUACUAAACCAACAAUUACCAACAUUUUAAACAAUUACCAAAAUUAAAUAAUCUUGUCACCUGUGAUUGUGGUGGUGGCUGUGUCAUUGGUUGUUCCUGAUCGUACAUCGAAACAACCGUAGAAGGUUUACGCCCGAUGCCUCUGAUAUGGCCACGUCGAACACCCAAUAUUUUUUCAAAACAAUUUUGUGUAUCCUUUGGUGUUAGACCGCUGGCUUCAGAGGAAGCUUGAGUUUGUUGACUGAUCUUAAAGAGUAAAGCAUUCUGUAUUUUCAAAAAAGAAAUAAAUAUAAUAAAAAUUAGAUUACUAACUACCCUUUGACGAUAUAAGCACUUAUAUGAAAAUACAAAUUAACCACUUACGUAUUGUUGCUCGACUGCAGGACUAGUAAACACCCCUUGGCGAUCAGUAUUGGCCUUACGAAAUGCUUCGAUUCGAGCGAUGUCCUAUUUCACAUUAAAAAUUAGAUUAAUUAUAAUUUAAAUAAACAGUUAAAUAUAUCAUAGCUUACUUCUUUGAAACAUGCAUUGCUAUACGAGCACGAUCCCCCUCUGUUUACAACUUGUUGUUGUGCACGGACUCCUUUGUUUGACGCCGAACGCUUUAGAAAUUCAGGAGUUUGAAAAUGCUCGACUGCUUGCGCCCAAUUUUCACGUGACAUACCAUCGAGGGGGUUGGCUAAUGCCCUUGGGAUAUCUGUAAGCCCCCCGACAUUCUCAAAAUAAGUAUGUGCUUUAUUUUUUCGUCCUCUAUAAAUUCUUUGCAAGGUCGCGUCAAUGCUCUGCAACAACUGAGCACGCUCGGGAUCCAAGUUAACCUUAUCUAAAUCAAACUUAUUCUACAAAUACAAAAAAGUUAGUUAGUUAAAUACCAAUUAGAACUAAAUUUAAAAUAUUGUCCAAGUUACCUUUAAAUGAACCACUGUGGCAUUCCUUAAAGCGGGGGAAACAUUGUCCCAACCAGAUACGUUCAAAGGGAUGUUCAUCCAUAUAUACUUCCCAAUCUCACGGGUAAACCAAUUACCAUGGUUCCCGAUAGGGGAAUAUGUCAACUCUCUAUCGAAAUCCAAAUCUACAGGUUUUCCCUUGUUUGCCCGUAUUAUCUUUGAUAAUUGAAUGUUUUUUGCUAGGCCUCUUCUUUUCUUAGGGAGCUCAGCUGAAAAAUAUAAUUAAAAAUAUUAGUCAUGAUAACUUAUAAUAAAUGGAUAAAAAUAUCUAACAUAUAUAUCAUAAUAAGACUUACCAUCUUGUUCGUGUUGACAACGACCAAAACCUCCGGGAGGUGGUGGAUCCCCGGCUCCAUCACCUCCAUGUCCUAAGCCCAUAACAUCCGCCAUCACGUAGAAGAGUAUCGCCCAACUAAACCCCAUAUAUAACCUGCAAAAUUACAAUAUGAAUAGAAUUUACACAUAUUACAUAUACAAAAAUAAUACAGUUUCUAUUAUAACAUUGUAGUUUCCAAAUUGCAUACAAAUACAUACACAAUAUAACAUCAUACUUUUUUUUCCUUUAAUAUUGCAUCCUACUUUUUGUUCAAUUUUUUCCAUGAACUAAUUUAUUAUACAAAUAUAACCUUUAUAAAAAAUAUCAUUUAAGUCAGUAACAAAAUGGUAAGAAAUUAAUAAUUUCUAAAAUUUAAUUAAUCUAAGGCUUACUUAAUCUAAAAUAAAUCAAUAUUAUAAAAAAUAUAAAUAACUUUCUGAAAUUUUACAUUAAAACUUUGGAUUCAAUUUACACAUAUUACGACUAGAUUUUUAAUUAUUUUUUAGAGCAAGGGACCAAAAUCGUACAAAUCAGAAGUUGAGGUUUGAUCAUAUAUAUUUUGUAAUGGAGUUUGGUUAAAUCAGGAGGUUUGAUACCUCCUGUAUCCUCAUCAUCGUUCAUCCCAAAUGAGAAGCAAAAAAAAAGAUACAAAUUAAUUGCCUUGUGUUUAUCAUCUACCAACAAAUCAAGAGAUUAAAAGGGCCAACAAAUCAAGAGAUUAAAAGGGGAUGGAUGGAGUGGACUUAGGAAGAAGGAAGCUAUAAACAAUAUAAAAUGCAUACAAUCUAACAAAUUGCACAAACACUUUUAAUCUCAAAAUUACUAACAAUUUAUCAUACAACAUAGCAACAAAACACGAAAAUAAUAGAAAAUUGGAGAAAUUUGACCUUGAAUGUGGGCAAUUUCGGUAUUGAGCUCAAGGAUCGCCGGUUUUCAACGUUUUGAGGGAAGCUAUGGCGGUCUUAUGGUGGCAGAAGGGGCUAGCACCGGUAAUUUACCUUCGUCCUCCACUUAGUCGAAGUGAUCAAACCGAGAAGCAGCAACAGAAACGAGAGAAGGAAAGGAUACAAGCAGAGGAAAAAAUGUCACCGAAAAGGAAACUGGAAAGGGUAAUCUGUAAUGGGUAUUAGCGGCGACAAGCAAUAGCGGCGACAGAAGGGUAAUAGCGGCGACAUCAGGGCAAUAGCGGCGACACCUUUGGAGGGAAAAGUUAGCGCGUUUUCGCUUUCCUCUACAACCGUUGGAUUGAAAUCAAAUCGGACGGAUAGGGAUAAUUUGACACGGAUCGCCGAUUUUGAGCAUUACCGGCGACGCGUAGCAAUAGCGGCGACGUGUAACACGUCAAUUACAUGUCGCCGCUAUUGCUCUCCGUCGCCGCUAAAAGCGUCGCCGGUAAUGCCAACAUUUCUUGUAGUGCAUCUGGUGUGACAGCACCAAAAUGUAUUAAAAGUUAGUUUAAUUAUAAUCUUGCAUGUUGUAUAUUCUGCAAAAAAAAAAAAAAAAGUUCGUUACAACCUUUCAGACCAUAGUUCUUGCAAAGAAAAACAUUUAUUUCUAUUAUUGAUAUUUGAGAAUCUUAUCUUAUUAUGAUUUUACUUAAAAAGACAGAAUUAGGGGCAUUGUUUGAAGAACCACUAGCAAAGGAUCCUAACUUGUAGGAUUCUUCCCUAGAACACAUUGCACAGAUGUUCUCUCUUUAAAAUGUUACUUGUAAAUUGAGAAUAUGAAUAAUCUAAAUCCACUCAGUUGCAUCAUUCGUGUCGUAGGUUGUUGGAAGCAUCGCAAACACCCACAAAUUGAAUUUAAUCGUUAUCAUAAUCUGAUAAAUUAUAACUUCUCUAAACACAUGCAUGCAUUAAUUCGUUGGUAGACAUUAUAUAUGAUAGACCCAUCAAUUUUAUCAUAAGUUUCUUUUAGGUUAGUCCAAACAUCCACCAACACUUUGAGAGAACCUGGCUAACAUAUAAGUUUUAUGACACAACCUAAAAACUUGGACAAAACUAAAGCAACAACCAUAUGCCAAUAUCUAUCCUGUAACUCAUCGUUCUCAGUCCGAAAACAAGAGUCAUUCACAAACCCUAGCUUAUUCUUAGCGUUAAGGACUAGUUUAAUUAGUAGCACAGUGUGUUACAAUGUUACUGAUCAUCUUUUUCAAAAUAGUACAUCGCAACCUACAAACUUUCAUCAUUGGACAAUCGAUUUAGGGAAAAAUAUCCAUCAACUUUUAAAUCCAUCUUCAAAUGUUGAUCUAUUUCUUUUAUUUGAUUCCUGUUGGAAUAGCACAACUGACAUAUAUUCUUCUCUGUAGAGUUUUUUGUUUGUUUGAACAGAUGCUUAGAGCAAAUCUGGACAACACCAUCAUCUUCUUCCUUUUCUCUUUCAUAUUUUGUUUUUGCUGAUAAUUUUUAAAAUAAAAAGGUUUUGUUUCACUCUUUUAGGCUUUCAGGUAACCAUCAGCUGCUAAAGAAACUUGGAUGCACUGCUCUUAGUUAUAUCAAAACAUAUAUAUUAAUUUUUGUUUAAGAGGCUUCUUAGAUGAAGAUGAUGUGUUUGUAUUGUAUUAGUCUAAUAUAGUGGUUUGAUAUGUAAUUAAUAGGUGAAGCUGACUAAAACAAUUACUUAACAAGUGAAACUACUAGCAAAAGGUGAAGAUGAAAGUACAUACAUGGUUACCCUAAUAAGAAAAACAUGAUUCAAGAAGAAAACAUGAAACUAGCAUGCUAAAACAAACAAGUCAUGUGUGUUUUUUCUGUUGCGAUCGUUUCAAGGUUGACAAUCUACUUUUGUCCAACCAGAGUUUUACCAGAGCUUUUGGAUUCAGUAAAGUGUGUAUGUGUGUGCUAUGAACAAAUGUGAUAAAUGGUUACCCUAACAAGUCAUUUCCCCUUUUUAUUAUACCCUUAAUGGUUAUUAUUAUUACUUUUUUAAAACAACUUUCUUAAAUAAAAAUAGAAAAUAUAAACUUUUUAUGAUGCCUUAUUUCACACAGCGGUGAAAAAUGGCCACCAGUGGUCUUGGAGGCAAUUUUAUUGAAAAAUGGGACUUAAAAACCCAUGCCAAAUACAAAAAUGAAACAUUGUUUUACAUGACUAUAUAUGUUCAUCUUUUUUGCAAAUUUGCAAUGAACAUCACCACCUUCACAUAAACCCAAUCUUCAAAGCUAUCAAGAAACAUAAAAAAAGCAAAUCUUCCACGACGGUUGAGAAGCAAAGCACCACAUGCUAUGCAAAAUCCAACAAUGAAACCAAUGGCCCCACCAACAUCGAACCAACCUUGAACAUAGGUAGGGUAUUAUUUUAAUGUAACAAUGUUGAUUUUCUGAGUUGAACAUUGAUUUAAUGAUGAACAAAUAAGGCCCUAGGAAACAUAAGGUGAAAUAUAUUAUUAAUUAUAGUCUUAAAGAAAAGCAAUGUAUAUGGAUGGAUCAUCCUUGGAGCACUAUAUUUCCUAGAAAAUUUGUUGAUUAAUCCAAGUUUAUUGGUUACAUAUGUACAAAACAAGUGACUAAAGAAUGACCCAAUGGGACAGUUGUUUACUGUCGUAUAGUCAUUUUCCCUUUUUAUCAUUACCCUUAUUUAGGCCUGCCAAUCGUGUCGUGUUCGGGUUGGCGUGUCGCGGGUUGGCGGGUCAAAAUAUGCCAACCCAAACACGACCCAUUUAAAUAUACAAGUUACGGGUUGACAUGUCACGGGUUGGCGGGUUUGGAACCUAAACCCAUAUAUGACCCGCCAACCCAUUUAUUAAUAUGGGUUCAUAGGUUGGCGGGUUCGUGGGUCAGAUUUGGGUUCGUGGGUACGAAUUUUAGACAUUUAAGUCUUAAACAUCCAAAUGAAAUUUAAAAACAUUCAUAGAAACAUGUUACAGACUUGACAUUAUAAGUUACGACUUACGACCUUAGACCAUCCACUUGGAGUCAAAAUGUCAAAAUUGUCAAAUGGUCUAUGAAUCAAUGGUAUAUAUUAUAUAAUACUUAUUAAAUAUUAAUACUUGAUACAUAAAUACAUUUAAAAAUAAAAUGAUUUUUUUUUAUUAAGAAUAUAAACGGGUUGACGGGUCAACCCGUUUAUUUUUUGAGAAACUCAUAUAUGACCCAUUUAAUAAGCGGGUUGGCGGGUUAGCGGGUUGACGGGUUGAAAAACUCAACCCAAAUCCAUUUAUUUUGUGUCGUGUCGUGGGUCGUGUCGCAGGUCGUGUCGAGAAUUGCCAGCCCUACCCUUAUUGGUUAUUUAAAACAAAUAAAUAAAAAUAAUAAAUAACUUUCUAAAAUAUAAACUUUUUAGGAUGCCUAAUUUCACACAACGGUGAAAAAUGGCCAUCCGUCGUGUUUGUGGCAAUUUUAUUGAUAAAUGGGACUUAAAAACCCAUGCCAAAUACAAAAAUGAAACAUGGUUUUACAUUUAUCUAUGUUCAUCUUUUUUGCAAAUUUGCAAUGAACACCACCACCUUCACAUAAACCCAAUCUUCAAAGCUAUCAAGAAACAUAAAAAAAAAAAGUAAAUCUUCCACGACGGUUGGUGAGUAAAGCACCGCAUGCUAUGAAAAAUCCAACUGUGAAACCAAUGGCCCCACAAACAUAGAACCAACCUUGAAGUUCGUCUAUACCUUCCCCCUCACUUUCACACCAAUGCUAUGUUGUAUUCUCGAUUCUUCAUCUCCAGGACAUUUUUUGGUAAGGGGAGGUCCACAAAGCCCUAAGUUCCAUUCGUAUCUUGAAGGGUCAAAGGACUGAAGUUGUGCGCUGGAUGGGAUUCUCCCUGACAAGCUAUUAUCUGAGACGUCUAGGUAAUUUAGCCAAGUCAUUUGAGAAAUGGUUGAUUGUAUUUCUCCUGAAAACUUGUUUCUAGAUAAAUCCAAAGUUAAAAGAUUUUUCAUCUGACCGAUUUUCCAUGGAAUCUUUCCACGUAGAGCAUUCUUUGAUAAGUUCAGUGCAAUUAGUUCAUCAAGAUUGGUAAUCUGAUAUGGGAUUUCCCCUGUUAAGUUGUUGCUUAACAGGUUGAUGCUCCUCAAUAAUACCAUAUUACUACGGAUGAAUUCACGUUCAGUUCCUUGCCACUGGAUCAUCACAUGGUCAACAUUAUAUGAAUAUGUUAUUAAUGAAUAAUCUACUUGAGAGAAUCCUUCUGUCACCAUGAUCUUAAAAUUACUCAAACAUGAGGGGAUGGUUCCAUGGAAAUGGUUCACGGACAAGUCUAGAAUUUGAAGACUUGCUAAUUGACAUAAUUGUAAAGGAAUGUUUCCAGAGAAGUUGUUUGAUCUUAACGUAAGAACAUACAACCCAAAUAAGUUUUCCCCAAUCCAAACAGGCAAAUUACCAGAAAACUUGUUAGCCCCCAAAUUCAAUGAUUUUAAGCUCGUGCAAUUCUUAAUAGACAAAGGAAAUUCAUCAGAGAAAUCGUUCUUGUAUAGAUCCAAUGCCUCGAGCUUAAUCAUAGAUCCAAGAG